This 58493-nucleotide long non-coding RNA is filed under the name Ananas comosus (pineapple). RNAcentral describes it as "long non-coding RNA (ACOM_LNC002429)". The record is from RNAcentral. Lineage: Eukaryota; Viridiplantae; Streptophyta; Magnoliopsida; Poales; Bromeliaceae.
GAAUAAAUACCGCACAGAAAUCUGAUUGUGAGUUAAAUCUAACUAAAUCUUAUUAUGAAAAUAAAUAAAUCAACUUACAGAUGAUCAAUAAAUCCAAAUAAAUACUUAAUUGAUCCGGAAGCGUGCGAGGCACUGCCCUAAGGCGUAUUCCCGUCCUUACGUGCGGGAUUAACCGGAAACACCGCCCCAAGGUACGACUGGAAUUCCUCCUCCUGCGAGCACGAUCGUGAAGAAGGUUGACGGAGACUCUUUCAACACCCGAUGACAAAGAGAUUGAUCAAAAUAGAAUCUAAAAUAAAAUUUAAAUCAUUCUUUGCAAUGUUCAUGUAUAUCAAUGAACAGCAUGCAAAGGUAAAUAUAUAUAGAGGGGUUAUAUGGUGUAACAUUGGAAUCAACCCCAACGUACAAACCUUAUUAUGCACCCUUAAUUCAUGCUUUAAUGUGAAAUAAAGGAGGAAUAAAUUAAAUUUAAUACAUCCAAUUAAUUAACAUAAUAAAAGACAAUAAAUGUAAAUAAUUAUAAAAUUAAAUGAUAUUUAGAGAUUUUGGAUUUUUUCACCAACAAAUCCCCACAAAAUUCAAAAUCACAAAAGAAGAAUUAAACAAACAAAUAAAUAAAUCAUCAGGUGUUUAUACUAUGCAAUAGGCGAGGUGUCUUUAAGAGACUUAACCCCACUUAGUGUAAAUAGUUUCCAUAAGAAGGAAUCGGAGUGAACCAGGUCUUGAACUACGUUCCUUUGUCCCUGACUUCAACUAUCACACACACAGUACAGAAUUCUACGUCGCGGAUCUGUGCGUUAAUGGCCAUGCACAGUACCUUGAUUUUUCAUAAGAGUUUCUAUGUAUAGCCCAUUCACAUAGCCGCGGCCACAUACGGAUACUCUUAUAUAGGUGGUUUUAUCCAUGGAUGUGUGUAGAGUCACAUAUCGCGAAAAUUAUCACCUUGGAUCCCAUUGAGAGCUCUCAGCUCAACCUAAUCCACUACACAGAGCACUACUCACCAUAGGGAAGGGAUUGGAGCUAAAGCUCCUUUAUAUAAACUGUAGAAAGUGCUCUUUGGCCAACCUGACAGUUUGUUUUUACCACAUUGAACCUUCUUCAAAGGAUCUCCUAUCACAAAGGUUAGGUUCCCACUGCAGGAAGGCCCAUUAUGGGCAAGUCCCAUCCCCCUCGAUGACUCCAGGACCUUAGUCCUAUUCAGGCCUUUCGUCAAACAAUCUGCAAGAUUCUAAUCAGAUCUGAUAAAACUCAAAGAAACAAUGAAAAGUUAGCCAUCUAAUAAACUUUUGUCUCAACUUAAAUAUGUUUGUCAACUUUAGAAUUUACCAAAUUCUUUUCCAAAAUAAACAUUAAAAUUUAAAAAAAAAAAAGAAAACAAUCAUAAUGUCAAAAUUUAUCAAUAGAUAAAAGAUUUCCCCCCACAAGUUCUACGAUAUAUCAAAACUUAAAAUCAUGAGGUUAAUCAUGUCUAAUGGGGUUUGGUUCAACAGCAAAUAGAUGGCCUAAACAAUUUUUUAAAAUUUUAUCUCAAUUAGAUCUUUUCAUUACAAAAUAUAAUGCAAGCAAUAUGCAUCAAACAAAAUGAUUACAGUAAAGUGGUGCUGUUGGUUACACGACUUUGUUCAAAGACUGUGCUUAAACAAACUGUGGGUUUCAAAUCCCAAUAUUGAAACAAUAACAAUAAUAUUUAAUAAUAAAGCUUAAAGAAAUCUAACCUCUUUUUUUUUCAGAAAAAUCAGAAAAUAGUUUUUAUAUAUAUACACAAACGCAAAGAAAUCCACACACUAAAAAGUAUUUUACUGCAGCAAAAUUGUUUAAAAUUAAUUUUGCCAUAGCAAAGCUUUAUUAUUAAAUAUUAUUGUUANAAAAAUUUGAUAGCAAAAAGAGCGUUUUACUAUUAAUAGUAUUCCAGCCUAAUUCUAUAUAUAUAUAUAUAUAUAUAUAUAUAUAUAUAUAUUAUAUAAAUUUUAAUUACUAGAUUAAGAUUCUAUUUUUUUUUUUUUCAACUUUUCAACCACUAGUAUGGUUGACAAUCUAACACGCUGUUCACGAGCCAUUUCGUAUUCGACUUGUUAAUAAACAAGCCGAGCAUAAGCUGAUUUUUUUAGCUCAAUAUUUUGACCAGCUUACUCGUGUUCGCUCAUAUUCGGCUCAUUGACAACACCAGUUCUAUAAAUUAAUGAUUUAUAAUAAUAUUCGUUUCAGCUAUUUAAAUAAAAAAAAUUAUUGCAUGUACAUACAUACAUACACCGGGUGCAGGGAAUAAAAGACAAUGGCACGUGCGGAAUUAAACGCCGGUGGAGUUACGGCUGAUUACGUCAUCGGUGGGUGCAACCGUUACAUGUCACGUGGGGCCCGCAUGUCAGCUUCCGCAGCCCUAAUACCAACAAAGCGUUACACCGAACAAUUUCUCGCACGUGACACACGAGCUCGGCGACACGUGCGGAGAAUUGGGCACGCAAAAGUCUCAGAAACUCGCUAUUUAUUAACAGACGCAAUUCGUGUUGAAAAAAAAAGAUGAGACAUUAAAUUUAGUCAACGAAACAAAAAUCAAAACAAAUUUUGAUAAUGCUUGUUGUUUGCAGUAGAAAAUAUGACCACGGUACGGCACGGACACGGUCGCUUUCUCACCGUGACACACUACACGGGUCGCUUAUUCGAUUCAGAGUGAAUUACUGAAUCAUACUUAAGCGGCGAAAUUUGUAGAUUUGAUUUUUCUUUUAAUCGUUUCGAUUCUGUAAAUAAGUAGAUGUUUGAAAUAAAAGAAUAUAAUGAUUAAAUAAUUAGAGAGAUCUUAUUUUUAAGUAGUUUGAAAAGACUUAAACUAAAUAAAAAUAUUUUAGUAAAAUUGAAUGAACCACAAGCUGGGUCGACCGAUGCUCGCCAUUUUUUAUUAUUGCUUUCACAGGCUCCCGCCAACAUCAGCUCAAUCACACAUACAGUUUACGUCGCCUAGCGAUGUAAGGCUCAUCGACACUUUCGACUGGUGAAUCAGCUCCGAUAACAAAUGUAAUAGCCCCGCCCAUUAGCGAUUAGUAGUAGCAACUUAUUGAGUCCAAAUUACCGAUCCAAAAUGAUUAGUCCAGUUAUUAUUGUUAGGAUUCAUAGUCUUUUAUAUUUCUAGUUAAAAUUUCAUUUUCUUCUGAUAUGGAAUUAUCGUGUUUCACAGAUUUUAAUAAAGAUGUUUGUGAACAAGGUUGGAUCUGGAUAAUUUAUCAAUGUAUCUAUCGGAUCCACUUGAGUUCGUUUGGAUAACGACGAUCCGUAUAUUAUCAACUUAAAAUUGGAUACAGGUCGGGUAUAGAUUAAGUAUAAAUAUCUGUUUGCAUAUCGAUAAAAGUACAAAUAUUUAUUGCAUAAUAAGUUCCAAACAAGGAUAUAAAAUUGAGCAAAAAUUGUAUGAGCAUCGUUCCCAAACUAUCAGUUUGGGGAUGAUGCCCCCAUCCUCACCCUCCAUUCCUAUCCAUCAAUUUUUUUUCUUUCUCUCUCUAAAAAUUCACGCCGACAAUUUUUUCUUCUUUUUUUCCCGUUUUCGGCCGUGCGAUGGGCACAGAUGCCCAUACAAUUUUUGCCCUAUAAAAUUUGCAAUUGUUACAUAUGUACUAAUUACUCUAAAACACGUCCAACCACCACCCUAUACAAAGUACAAACACAAUAAUAUGACUGUUAAAUUUAUAUUGAUAAAUCCAAACAUGUACAAUAUGAUGAUAUAAAACACAUAUAACUAGUUAUAUAACAUACAAUAUGUAAGUCCAAAACACAGCCACCUACUACAAUAUAGUCAAAACACACAUACAAUGAGUCUAAAAUAUUAUAUCAAGUUUUUUUCUUCUUCUUCUCUUUUUAUAGCUUUUAACUUUUAAUGAUUGGAUAUUUUAUCAGGGUGGGGUUCGGGUUCGGAUUCGGGUGUAGGUCUAGAUAUAAAAACUAUUUCGGAUUCUACCCAUCAAAGGAUCGGAUCCGAGUUGGGUUCAAGUCAAAUAAAGAUAUAAGGUAUUCAGGUCCAUUCCUGAAACUCUAAAAGGUAAAUUUUUUUAUCCACAUGCUAUUCACUUUUAAUCGGUUCCGGACUACGUAUGAGUCAGGUCCGAAAAAGGUCCAGAUCGGAUACAGAAUAUGUAGUAUUUUAAACUUCUCUAGAGCUUAAUAUAUUUACAAUUUUUGAAAGGAACAAAUCAUAUAGCUAAAUUUAUUAGGAGGUUAAAUUACAAAAGAAAUAAUUUGGAAAUUUACAUUUUUAGAUUUGAUUUCUUUUUUUUGGAUCUGAGAUUUAUGAACCUUGUUGCUAGGCUUGGAUACAUACAAGUACCAUUGGACACCAUUUAAUGGUACAACAUUUAUCCAAUAAUAAUAGAAAAAUUACUAUUUAUACAUCCAAAAAAACGUGUAAAUCAUACGCCCUCUUAUUCUAGAGUUUAUAAAUUUUUUAAAAUUUUUAACAUAAAAAGAAAAAAAAAAUAUUGACAUGAGAAGGGCCUAUGGUCCCUAACUUUUUUUUUUUUUUGCUUUUUUAUUUUUUGCAAUCAGAUCUUUAACCUUCAUAAUUAAGUAUACGAAAUGAUCUUUAUCCUCUGCCUAUGAAGCGCAUCCAUCUUGUCAAGCCCAAUCUUACCACCCCCAAUGAUCUUUAUUAAGUUAGCGUGAACUAUUUCAUCAAAAUUAAUAAAAAUUUAGAUAGUUGAGAUCUAGCUGCAACAAAAUAUAAAGAUAAAUUAGAAAUCUAAAUAUUUAAGAACCAAAGUGAAAAACUAGGCAAAGGUCCACACUCUGUGUUGUAUUUGUAGGAGUUACAGGUUAGGGAACAUCGUGCAAUUACCUCCCCCAGGUUUCAAUAUGGAUGCAAAGAACCUGGGGGAGGUGCCCCGACUAUCAAAAUCCCACCCCGCCUCCUGUCCCGAAUUCGUAACUGGUUAAAAAAUAUAUUCCAUAAUCCGCCCCACCUCGUAACCUGCCUCCCGCUGGCGCCCGAAUCCGUCCCGCCAACUAAUUUUUUUUUUAUAAAAUUAUUAAUAUUUUAUAAAAUAUAAAUUAAUAAUUUUUAAUAAUAUUAUAUAUAUAUAUAAUUAAAAAUAUUAAUUAUAAAAAUUAAAAAUAUCAAUCACAAUUUUAAGCAAAAUUUAAAAAUUUUAAAUACAGGAGAAAUGAUAGCACUAAUUUAUUUGUAUUUUGAACUUUUUUUAUAAAUACAUUAUUUUUUAGAAAUAUUUUUUUAAAUAUAAAUAAUUUUUAGGGCAGAUUCGAGACGGAUUAUGGUGGUGCAGAUUCGGGGCAGGUCAAAAUUUCUUCCGUUUCCUACCCUAAAUCCAUUUCAGAUUAUAAAAAAUUAUUCCGUUUUUCACCCUGAAUUUAUUUAUUUUCUCUUAUUUACUGCUCAUUUGGGGCGGAUCGGGGCGGGAGCACUACGAACCUGAGAUGUAGGGACCAUUGUGCAAUUAAUUUGGAUCCUACCUAAGGACCAUGUGCAAUUAAUUUGGAUCCUCCCUGUUCCUAAAAGGCCUUUAAUGAGAUGUGUUGUAUUGGAAAAUUUACAUGAUGUUUUUAAUUGUGCUUGUAAAUUAGAAGAAUUUCUUUAUAUUACAUAUGUUAACAAAUCAAUAGCUCCUAAGGAAUAGUAUUUUAGUACAAUUCUUAAAAUUGUUAAAAAUGCCAACACUCACAUUAAAUUAUUAUUUGAUAUAGGAGUCCGGCUACUAUACUCUUAUGAGUACGAUCGCCUUCGUAUUCAUAAGUUGUUUUCGAUAAUAGAGCUUCUGAAUCGACGAUCCAUACCGUUAAACAUUAUCUAGAGAUUUUUAAAACUUAUAGAAAUCAGAUUUUAUAAAUUUUCGAUAUCAUUUACCUUAAGAUCAAAAGCUCACAAAAUUGACAGUUUUUAACGGUCAGUAUGAGAUAUUUGCUUGUUUAACGGUGUAAAAGAAUCGGAAUAGAUUGAAUUUUUGAUAGAAAAUUCUAUUCACUACCUAGAUAAAGAUUAAUAACUCCGAUCUUAAAUUGAAGGAUCUAAUCAUCUAUUUUUAUGAUGUCGUUUGAUUUUGACCGUUCAUUUUAUACCCGCUUGAUGGACUUUAUAAUGGUUUUAAAAAAUUACGAAAUUUAUUUUCUAAAAGUUUCAAAUACUCUAGAUCAUGUUUAACGGUGUGGAUCGUCGAUUCAAAAGCCCCAACAUCGAAAACAACUUAUAAGUACGAAAGGCUCUAUACUCAUAAGAGUAUAGUAGCCCUACUCUUGAUAUAGAUCAAAUAUAUAUGACCAAUUUGCAUAAAAAAUUCACAAGUUUUGAAUUUUUGUAAAAUUGGACCGUCUUUUUCGAUUUUGCAGAUUCGAACUGAAUUUUCAACAAACUGAUCAAAAUAUUUUUAUUCCUUUCUCUCUUUUCUUUUUUUCCUUCAGUUUUUUUUUUUCUCUCCAACCCUUAUCGCCUACUCCACCACCUCCGCCAUGUCGGCGACGGUAACGAGGGUGGCACCACAUCCUCUUCCUUCAUCUCCUCCUCUGCCAGCACCAACACUCCUCGGCGACGGUAACAAAGACAACACCGCCUCCUCCGCUUCAACCUCCGUCGGCUCCAGAGAAGCAGAAGGAGAACUCGAAGCGGGCCCAGAUAAGGGCGGAGCGGACGAAGGGUGGCACCACAUCCUCUUCCUUCAUCUCCUCCUCUGCCAGCACCAACACUCCUCGGCGACGGUAACAAAGACAACACCGCCUCCUCCGCUUCAACCUCCGUCGGCUCCAGAGAAGCAGAAGGAGAACUCGAAGCGGGCCCAGAUAAGGGCGGAGCGGACGAAGGGUGGCACCACAUCCUCUUCCUUCAUCUCCUCCUCUGCCAGCACCAACACUCCUCGGCGACGGUAACAANAGAUGGAGGGACACGGAGAGGGGAAGGGAAGAGGAGGGACAUGUGAGUUAUAAAAAAAGAAUGAUAUCUAAAGUAAAAAAAAAAAAAUAAAGAAAAAAUUUUUUCUCUCCAAAAGACUAUUAUAUAUCGUUACUGUUACCGAAAAGACUAAAAAUUAGAGAAAAAAAAAGAAGAAGAUGAAGAUUACACUGUUAAAAUAAAAUUGCAUUGUUUUAUAAGAAAAUUGCACUGUUUAAUAUGAACGUUAUACUCUUUGAGAUGAAAAUUAUAUUAUUUGAAAUAAAAAUUGUACUCUUUCGAUAAAAAUUAUAUUGUUUAAGAAAAAAUUGCACUAUUUUUCGACCAUCAUCGUCUCAUCAUCUUCUUCUUCCUCUUCCCUUAACCCCUUUCUCGCCCUCCACCUACGACCCCCAUCCUCACCAACGCAACCCUUUCUACCCUGUGCGCCACAUUGAAGUGCCGAAACGCGGAAACAACCUACCUUUCUUCCUCUUCUUUUUUUUUUUUUUUUUCCUUCGUUCUUUUUUUAACUCCAACCCUCAUCCACUCCUUCACCGCCUCCGCAGCCCUCGGCGACAGUAACAAGAGCAGCGCCACCUCCUCUUCCUCCAUCUUCUCCUCCGUCGACGCCGGCGGCUCUCAUCGACGAUAACGAGGACGACGCCUCCUCCUCUUCCUCCGCUUCCACCCCUUGAAGGAGAAGGAGAACUCGAAGGGAGCCCGAGUAAGGGCUGGGCGGACGAAGGUGAUGAGGUCGUUUCCGUGUUUCGAGGUUCCGAUGGGGUGUGCGGGGUAGAGAGACUCCCGUUGGUGAGAAUGGGGGUCGGGUGGAGGGGAGGAGGAGGAGGGGGUCAAGGAAAAAGGAAGAUAAAGAUGAAGAUGAAGAUGAGGCGAUAAAGGUCGGAUAGUAGUACAAUUUUUUCUAAAACAGUAUAAUUUUUAUUGAAAGAGUACAAUUUUUAUUUCAAAGAAUGUAAUUUUCAUAUCAAAAAGUACAACGUUCAUAUUAAAUAGUACAAUUUUCUUGUAAAAUAGUGUAAUUUUAUUUUAAAAGUAUAACCUUCAUCUUCUUCUUUCUUUUUUUCUGAUUCUUAAACUUUUCGGUAGCAGCAACAAUAUAUAAUGGUCUUUCAAAGAGAUUUUUUUUUUACUUUUUAUUCUUACUUUUUCAACCUCUAAAUUUUUAUUCGCUCCUUGAAGAUGAACGCGUUUUUUUUCCUCACCCUCAUGGGCAGCGAGCAUCUCCUCAACAAUGACCCCAUCGCCUCCGUCCGCUCCGCCCUCACCCGGGUCCGUUUUGAAUUCUCCUUCUCCUUCUUCGGCACUGACAAAAGCGAAGGAGGUGGCGCCGCCCUCUUUGCUAUCGCUGAGGGCCGCUGGCGCCGGUGGAGAAGGAGAUGGAGGAAGAGAGAAUGGCGUCGCCCUCGUUAUCGUCGCCGAGGCUGCGGAGGAGGUGGAGAAGGUGAUGAGGUCGAAGAAAAAAAAAAAGAACGAAGAAAAAGAAAAAGAGAGAGAGAGAGAGAGAGAGAGAGAGAGAAAGAAAGGAAUAAGGGUAUUUUUAGUCAAUUUGUUGAGAAUCUGAUCCGAAUAUGCAAAAGUUCAAAUCUUGUGAAUUUUUUAUGCAAAUUAGCUAAUAUAUAUACAUAUUAUAUAAUUAUUUAAUUUUGCGGUUUGGUUUGCUUAGUUCAAAAGUCAAAACCAAAUCGAGACCAAAAACUCAAAUUUCAAAAAAAUCACAACUGAAUCAAACCGAAAAAUCAAUUUCACCGAACGAAAUAGACUUAUUUUGUUUGAUUCGGCUUGGUUUUUUAUUUGGACCCCAAUUGUGAACAACCCUAAGUAUGAGGUGCAAUCUUGUGGCUCAGAUAAAACAAGCAACAAACUGUUAUUUUUUGGUUUUUUUUUUGUUUUUUUUUUUGACAGAGAAAAGUAGUGAGCUACCGCCUAUCGCAUUCAUUUUAUAGAUUAAUUACACUUUUGGUCCUCAAAUUUUAAGACGCAGAACAAUUUGAUUCUUAAAUUUUAAUUUACUGUAAUUAUUGGUUCGAAUGUUUUGAAUUGUAAUAAUUCAGUUCUAUAACUCAAUUUAGUUGGCUGUAAACAUUGUUGUGUCGCCAAUGCAAAAAUGAUGUGGCAAUAUUAUGACUAAAAAUACAGUAAUAAUUAAAAUUCACAUCACUUUCGCAUCAGUAAUUCAUUAAUAUUUAGCUUAAUAAAUUAGAUUUGAUCUUAAUUAUAAUAAUUUAUUCGAAUCAAAAGAUUAUAUUAAAUUAAAGUUUAUGAACUAAAAUGUCACGCGGCCUCAUAAUUAAAGAUCCGAAAAGACUUUUGCAACAAAAUGUUUUCUAUUAAAAAUCUUCUUUUUUAAAAAAAAUUUUCAUUUGUUUGGUUCAAAAAAUAAAAUUAAAAUUUUUUUUUGGAUUUCAUAAGAAACAAGUAUUUUUCUUUUCUAUUUUUUAAAAAAUUACUAAAUUUCAUAAAAUAUGAAAAAAUAUAUUUUCAAAAAUGUUAGUUUUUUUGGGAAUCAAAUUACCAGAAAACUAAAAAUAGAGUAUUUCAUGAAAAACCUUUUCUUUGCAAAAAUUAUUUUUAUGUCUUAUAAAGAUCCAAACAACCUCUUAAGGUGUGUUUCGUUGACCGUAAAAUGUUCCUAAAAUUUUUUUUGGGCUUGAAAAAUUAUUUUUUGUAUGUUUGUUUAGUCGUAAAAUUUUAUUUUUACAAAUUUAAGAAAAAUAGAACUUUUUUGUUUUCUAAUCGUAAAAUCUUUUUCAUUUAUUUUUUUUUCAACUAAACAAAUUUUGAUAAAAAAUUAUUAUUUUUUCUAUAUAUCCAAACAUUAUAAAACACAAAGCUUUUCUUCCAUAAAAAAAUUUUUUAUAAAAAAUUAAUUUUCACCAUUUUGCCUGGAACCAAACCUAGUUAGUAAAUUCGCGAAUUAUUCAGGAAUUAUUAAAAAUCCGAAUUAAGCGGUCUAUUUAUAAAUUUUUCAGAAAGAAAGAGAAUUAUUCGCGAAUUUUUUGGGCCAGCCGAAUUAUUCGUGAAUAAUUCGCGAAUUAUUUGCGAAUUAUUGCCGAAUUAUUGAAAAUAUGAAUAAAAAACUUAUAAUUUUAUUUUUAAAUAUAAAUUAUUUUAUAUUUUAUAUCUUAUAUUUUAUAUUUUAUAUCAAAUCCGUUUUUUAAGCCGAAUUUUUCAACGAAUUUAAAAAUUAGAAAAUAAAUUUUAUACGCAUUAUAUCCGUACCGAAUUUUUGCCGAAUCCGAAUUAACUAACUAUGGAACCAAACACCCCUUAAUUAGCUUAAAAAUGUCAAAAAAAUAAAAUAAAAUUUAAAUUUAAAAUUUUACAUAUUAAUUAUCAAUUUUUUUUGAUUAAUUUCAUACAUAUCUCUGCAAAUAUAGUGAAUAACAAAUAUAUCCCUACAAAAUUCACUUUCAUAUAUUGUCCAUGCAAAAGUCCUAAUGUUUUCAAGUAUAUCCUUCUGCUUUAUUACCGUCAGAGAAUCAUUUAUAUUUUUAAUUUUGCCAUCACAAAUAUAUCCCUCCAAAGCUAUACUAGUAUAAUAUAAAAGGGUAAAAAUGUCAAAAACUAAUUAGUAUUAAAUAUUUAACCUAUGGUUAACUAACUUUUUCUAACAGAUUCUAACGUCAGGGGCAUAUUUGAAAAUAUCAUGACUCUUAUAGAGACAAUAUAUAAAAAUUAAAUUUUAUAGGGAUAUAUUUGAUAUUUACUAUAUUUGAAGGGACAUGUAUGAAAUUAUUAUUAUUAUUGGGUCACUUGAGCGGAAUUAUAUUACGCGUCGCUUUUUUUCGAUCUGGCAAAUCGUUUGUGGGCCCCCGAAAGAACUUUUCAUUUAAUAAAAAAACACGUGCGUUUAAAAAAUGUCUCCGUCGCCGCAACACAAGAUGCCAUCAUACAGUGGAAAAUCAAGCUGUACGAAUUGCAACCAAUGAGGUUUUCUUUUAAAAAAAAAUGAAAAAAAUGAAAAUGACAUUGAAAAAAAAAAAAAUUUAAAUUACAGUUACAUAAUGUUGGUUUAAAGAGGUCAGCAAUCAGCAUCUUGCCUUACGACAGGAGAUUAGAUUAGGCUGAGUCGCGCUCAGAAUGACGAGAGAUCAGGUUGGACCGAGUUUUGUUCGAAAUGGCAUGAGACUAAUUGAGCAGAGUCACAAUUGAGAUCUGUGGGUGCUUUAUCUGUACGUUUUAAGUAAACUUAUUAUGUUUUUCUAACAACUCGAUCUUUUGGAAUUAAUGGUUAGCGCCAACGAUCCGACAACUGCGAAUAUGUGCAGGUGCUGUAGAGGGGGAGGGAUUGUUAACUUAAAGGGCCAACAUAUCACGCUGCGGCGGAAGGCCGGAUUAGGCCGAGUCAUAUUCGAAGUAAUGUGAGAUUAGUCAGGCCAAGUCACAAAUCGAAACCCUUAAACGUUAUUUCUAUACGCUUUAGGCUUCGUUUGGGAUUGCGGAGAAAUUGUGUUUCAUAUAUCGCGAUGAGUUAGUUACCAUAUAUUUUCUGCAAUCUCACCGGAGAACGCAGAAGCAUAUCCGUAUAUGCUUUUUCCUCAACUCUAUUUUAUCUAAUAGCGUUAGAUAGAUCUCAAUACCAAACUAAGCUUUAAGUAAAUUAGUUGUAUUUUUCUAACAGUUUGAAUUUUUUUUAUUAAUGAUUAGCGCCGACGAUCCAACACAUGAGACGAUAUUAUUAUUUUAACCAAUCAAAUUAUUUUUCUGUAAUUCAACCAUUUCGUCAUAAUUUAAGCUAAAUAUUUUUAUUACAUUUCACUAUAAAAGAAUUAUUUUAAUAAUAAUUAAUGUGAUUGAGAGUGAGUUGGAUACUCAAACUCUAGUCCUCGGGUAAUCACUUUUACUCAGAAAAACAUAAAAAAUUAUUUUUAAAAAAAACUCUCGCUUGCCUCCGAAAAUUAUUUAUUUUUUCAAUAUAAAAAAUUAGUAUUUUUUUAGUUAAAAUUUUCAAGAAAUAAAAAUAUUAGUUUUUUCUAACAUGUGGAAUUAUUUUUUAGAAAAAGUAGUUUUUUUUUUUUUUUGUAGCUUAACAGAUAAAAAAAAAAUGAAAAAGAGAGUUUUUUCAUGGAUUUUUUUUUCAGAACAAUAAUGUUUUAUAUUUUUCCAAAAAAUCAAAUACCAUGCAUGACACUUUGGUUUACAAACUUUAAAUUAUUAUAAUUUAGAUAAAUAUUUUAGAUUAACACAAAUUAGUCAAAUUUAAUUGAUCGAAUAAUUCUGGUUUGCAGAGAUGACAGUAAUAUGACAUCUUAUUAAUUGCCAGAUUAUUAAUUAUAUUCCUCUUAUAUUACUUAUACAUUAGAUAAACGAUAUUAUUUAGCUAAUUAAAUUACAUUAUAUGGUUUAAUUAUAAUAAUUUAAAAAGUUUAAAGCGAAAAUCACAAUGAAUUAAAGAUUAGGGAAAACUUCAAAUACCCUACCUGUGGCUUUGCACUUUCUCACUUUAGUACCCUAUGGUUUAAAGUGUAUCUAGUUAGUACCCUGCGGUUUGGCACUUUCUCAGCUUAGUACCCUGUGGUUUAAAGUGUAUCAAGUUAGUACCAUGUGGUUUCGUAUUUUCUCAUUUUAGUACCCUGUGGUUUAAUAUUUCGUUAAAUUAUAUACAAAAAACUUCAGAUAUCCUACCUAGGUUUAUCGAAUAUUCAUUUUAGUACCUUUUAGUUUUAACUUUGUCACUGAUUUAGCGAAAAAAAAAACCCGAAAUGGAUAAUAAAAAGAGAAAAAUAAAACUACAGGGUACUAACUUGAUACAAAAAUGAAACCACAGAGUACUAACUUGAUACACCUUAAAUCACAGGGUACUAAAGUGAGAAAGUGCAAAACCAAAGGAUACUAACUUGAUACACUUAAAACCACAAGGUACUAUAAUAAGAAAAUGCGAAAUUACUGGGGGGUUAUUUGAAGUUUUCCCUAAAGCUUAAGAAGUAAGUGUCACAAGUCUCAAAGUAUGAGGCCAAAAGUGUGAUUCAGCCAAAAUAAAAUAAAAUAAAGUGAUAGUGACAUUGUAUUCAAUCUAAAAGCAAGGUACAAAAAAUACCACGUGUAAAUACAUUCUCCAAAUAUAUAAACAUUAAAAUGUUAUGUAAGUCCAACUAAUUUUGGAAGCAUUUUAACUCUUUCCCAUUUUAAUACAAUAAAAUGAUGUUGAAAUUUAUCUUUAUUUAGUAUAAAAAAAGAACUUUGGACAGAUCACAAUUUGCUCUUUUACAAUUUAUCUUUAUUUUAUUUUAUAAUUCUAUGCUUUAAAUAAUUGUAUUUUAUUAUUACCUUGAAUUUUAUUUUUAUUUUGCCAUAAAAAUUUACUGGUAAAUGGAAGGGUAAAGUAAAUCAAUCAUAGAAUGAUCAAUAUAUACUAUAAAAUAAUAAAAUAUCAGAAACUUAUAUUUUGUCUCCUUCAAAUUUCAGAAAUAUUUUCAGAGUAUUACAGUGUUAAUAAAGAGGCCAAAAAUGACUAGAUUAUUCUUAUUUGCUCUAUAAAGAAAAAUUAAUUUUUUUAUAUAUUUGUUAUUUUUAAAGAUAUGGUGUAAGUGAUAGAAAUAAAUAGAAUAGUGGCAAAACUUUGAUGUAGGGCGACUAAAUGCAUCAAUUCAAAAUUUUGAGAGGUUAAAAUAUAAAUUUUUGAAAGCGAGGGAGAAAAACUGAAAAUACAAAUAUUAACAGAGAAAUUUUCUAUAUUUAUGCACCAUAUUAUCUUAUUUUCCUAUUCUAUGAUGAUAAGCAUUAAUAUACAUAGUUGUUACGCAUAGUUUUUUGAACUAGAGAAUGCCAAAUACAAAUCCACUAAACCGCAAUACAGUUUUGACUAUUUAUUGUUAGCUAAAGUAGAUCCUAUUUCGUAUAAGCUCAGAAAACUAGCAAGUUGAGUUUAGUUGAGUCUAAUAAAUUGAGUUAUGAUGCGGCCUCAAUAGACCUAAUGACAAAAGACUCAAUAAUAAACGUAAUGUUCAGAUGAAUUAAGACGAGUCGAAGCCUACGAGCGCUAUUGCUGAGCCCUUAAAUGCAAUAAAUGCGCUCUUUCUAUCAAUACAUGCUUUUGAACACUUAAGAUCUACAUAUAGAUGGGAUGGGUAAGUUAAAAUUUACACAACUGACUAAUAAAUAGAUUGAUAAAAUCUACCCAAUUUUAAAAUUUGCCUUGUUAAUUUAAAAUAAGUUUAUGGGGUAGACCAUGGGCUGACGCAGAACAGGGCAUGUGAUAACAAAAAAUCACUCCCUCGAUUUUUAUUCUUUUAUAAUUUACAUUUCAAUAUUAUCAAGUUUUUCUUAGUUAGAUCCCUCUGCCAGUUAUAAAAUAAAAGAGAAAAAAAAAAAAAAAAUCUAAAGCCUUGUUUGGUAUCAUUAUUCUUUUAUUAUUUUUUAAAAUACUAAUUUUUUAUAAUUUGAUGUGUUUGAAAAAAAAAAAUAACUUCUAUUGUUAUAAUUGAUUAACUUGCAAUACAUUCAAUUGAGUAAUAAACGAUACCUUAUUUUUAAAAAAAUUUGAAAGCAAAAAUUAAAUUUUAUUUUUUGUUGCGAAGCCUCUGAAUGAAAAAAUUGUAAGCAAUCCACCGUACAUUCUUUCGCCUUUUAAUACACAAAAUUCUAUUUAAAAAAUAAAAAACAAAACAUGAUGCCAAACAAGAACUAAAAUUUUUAUUUUUUUUAACUAUCAAUAAUGCAUGAGAGUUGUUGGCAUUCUAUCAAACCGACGUUAAUAAUCAGACUCAAUCCGAUAAUAAUUAUUAUGUUAUCUAAUUAGACUAAAUUUAAUCCCAUUAUAAAUUUGUAAAACUAAUUAGAGAUUCUUUCUAAUUAAAUUACGAUGACGAAUAAUAAACUGAUUCAGUUUAAUCUUCUACUUACCUUCCUGGUGUUGAAAAUCCUUGCAAACACACAGAAAAUUGCAAGAAAUUUUGUAGACAUUUGUAAGAAAUUUGUGUGUCAUCUUAUAAGUUAGCAAAUCCACAUCCUCCAUAAGUCCAUUGAUCCUAGAGAAUCUUGAAUGGUGGACUGUAAACCUAGCUUGUCCGCAACUUGAUUUAUCGCGGAUUUGGAGAGUUAGACAAUCUUCAUUGACUAUCCAAGAACAUACGAAUCAACCUCAAGAACCCUAAACCGAUCACGUUCGAAGAAAAAUUAACGACGGCUCACAUUAAAGGUACGAUCGAAUACAUCUGCUGCAAAAGUCAAAGUCCAUUUGGUUUCCGACAACGCCACCUUCCAAAUGGGCCAUGCAUAGUUUUAUACAAAUAUUAAAUUGAUUAUUAAAGCACAACAAAAAUUUCCAAUUCUUUUAUUGAUGAAAGGUUUUCUUUUUUUUUGCAUAAAAAAUUUAUUAAUUUUACAUUUUUAUAAAAGCGGAGAAACUGAUGAAAAUUCAUGUAUCUUAAAUUACAUCUUGUGAGAAAAAUAUCCUAUUUAUGAAGGAUUACGCUGGUUUGGUAUCGAAUCUUGAGAAAAGCAUCAAGGUUUACAUCAAAGUGGUAACAUGUAAUUAAGAUUUGAAAACAACCAUUAGUUUAAAGGGUUUGCAUAGAGUUUUGGUCGAGUAAAUGCAAUCUAAGGGAACAAGAAUUUGAUCACAUUAAUAACAUCUCGAUUCUUAAUUCAAAAGCAUAAGUAAAAUACUGCUCCUAUGACAAGAAAGGGAAAUUCAUGGAAACAUGAGAUUCAUCAAGUGUUUUGAUUGAAAAGUACCUCAUGCGUAGAUAUCCAAGCCUCGGCAGCAAAAUGUGCACAAAUGACUCCCGAAUUCGGAUAUCACAUCGACCAGUCCACCGUGGCCGCCAACGGCUGUUACCUGCGUAGCAACAUAGGAGAUCGAGGGAUCAGCUUCAUCGAUUUGGUUUCAUAUGAGCAUCAUCAAACAGAAAUCAUCCAGUUAAAGAUUGUAAAUGGAGAAGAGUAGUUUACAGAGGUUUUGAUGGUCUAAAUGACCGGAUAACGAAACAUUACCAAAUUACCGGCCAUUCAUAGAAUGCAAGUUCUAUCAACAUCGAUUUCUCUCAGUGCAAUUACUGUAUCAUUUGAGAAAGUAAAAUGUUUCAUAUGAUUGAUUUAUGGAAUUAAGCAGCAUUUGUCACUCUGGCUCAAAUAGGACAUUGAGGCGACUUAUAAUCAAAAGUUUCAUUCUCUACAAUCAUCUAGAUUAUCAUAGAAUAGGAAAAUAAGAUAAUAUUUUGCAUAAAUAUAGAAAAUUUCUCUUCCACAUGAUUUUCUAGAGGGGUUGCUUUCAAGUUCCCAUGAGAGUUCAGCUACAGCCACAAACAAGCCUUACAAUUUUCAAUUGAAACAAGCAGUUUCAUUGAUCUCCUAAUUUUGCCUUCGCCAGGGCACACAGCAAAGAAAGAAAACAAUCUUGGCAGUCAAUUAGAAAAAAAAUCUUGGUAGUCAAUUAACCUAACUAAUAAAUUUAUCAAAUAUACAGGAUAAGUUAUGGUCCUUACAUGGCAUACUCUAGCUUCUGAAUUGGCAAAAUAUUUCCGUGCUACAAAUUAAGGAAAGAGAGAUGGAAAUUACCCCAGAUGGAUGAACUGAUAUGCAAAAGGCUGAAUGAGGAGCACACUUUAUUUGUGAAAGAAUCGACCCAUCUAAUGUGAAACGUGAGAGCAGAGGCUCUGAACCAACUGCUAGAAUCUGAAUUCAGAAAAGUAAUAGUCGGUAAAUGAAGGUAAAGAAGUGACCAGAGUUGCAAACAUAAAAACUGAAUCCGAGGGUUAAAGCAGACGGUGGAAAACUGAAUUAUAAUAACACAUAGAUAAUGAUAAACAUAAACAUGAACACAUAGGAAGUUCUGUUUUUCUCAUAUGCAGUAUCAAGUAUUAAAGUAUUAUUUACGAAGCCCUGCGCAUUGCAGCAUCCUUUUUUUUAAAGCAGUAUAAUAUGUAAAGGGCCUAAAGUAACAAGAAUAGAAAAUGUCCAUCCUACAAAUGCAAAUAAACCAUUUUGCAUUGACAAGCUGUUAGCAGGGAACAUCUUACUUGGUUCCCAUGAAAAAGUACAUCCUGAACAGGAGCACGGCAAUCUACACUAAAAAUGCACUCAUUUGACAGCAAGCUCCAAACUGAUAGACUAUUAGAAGUGCCACAAACCUGAAAACGAUUAGUAGUUUAGUAAUAGAGAGGUAAGGAAUAAGUAACAAAUUUCACUGCUAGUCCAAACCAAAAUAAAAGGAACACUUCGCAUAGCGCAUCAAUUCAAAUGGAAAAGGGAAAUGAGAAAAAUGCAACGCAUGGAGUUUAAUUUUGCUUGAAGUUUUUAGCGUUAUUUUGUAUGAGCUUAGACACCUUGAGUAAAGGAAACAAGUACUAGCUAACUUGUAUUAGUUGGAAAAACUUUUACCAUCCAGCUUUCGCUUGUGUCGAUGGCAAUGGAACUAACCCAUGCAGACUCCUUGAGCUUACGAUUCUUGUCUGGGUAUAAUAUUUGAGUACAUCUUCCACUUCUGCAAUCUGUAUUUAAGUGCAUAUGAGAAAACAUAGAUAAGCAUCAUACAUGCAUGAAUUUUAGAUGCCCGGGUAUGUAUAGGUCUUAUCAAGGGCCGAUGCAACAAGACAAGCUUGUCAAGGAAGCUAACAAAAGAGAUGAUUACUAGGCGUCGGGAUUACGAACAAAUUUUAUACUAACACCAAUUAAUAGCAGAAAUGCAUUCUUUUUGGCAUAAUAUGAAAAUUAUUUCUUUAGCAGGAGUAACUUCAUUCUUUUACAGGCCAUGAUGGAUAAUCCAAAAACCAAUAUUGUUUAUCAUACUGAUAGAGUCACAGAUGGAUAUUUGUUGACUUUCAUAAAUUUAAUGAAGAAGCAACAAUAAAGUCUUCUUGCAACUAAAUAUAAGAUAUAAACCUCACUAACUAGAUUGACAUAGAAAAGCUUUUAGGAUCUGUAACCUACAAAAACUAAUACAAACUAAGAAUAGUAGAAAAUAUAAACCCACCCCAUAUCCGGGCUGUUCCAUCCUCUGAACCUGUUAUGAUCUGAUACAAGAAAAACAAAACAUUAGCAAACAAGAAAAUAUAAAAUGUAUAUCUCCACAUGAUUAAUGCAAUACCAAGGCGCUUGUGAGAAAUUUGCUAGACAAAUGACAGGUAGGGUUACCAAACUUAUCAGUUCCAGUUAAGGUUCAUAUAACCCAGUAGCAGCCUUCAUGUGUUAUAGUAGGAACAAAAUCAGCUAAGUGCCUAAGAAAAAAAGAAUAUCCUAUAAAGAGGGUUCUUCAUCUUCGCGACACAACAAAGAAAACGAGAAAAAUGUAAUUGCAUGUAACCUCUCGAUAUCGAAAGAAACAAACCAAUGCCUAUGUUAUCUACUGAAGGAAAAACAGAGGAUGAAGAGCGUGUCACUUACCAUAUAGGUCAAAUGUUCGCAAACCUUAUCCCCACAUGAAUAGAAACUGUCUCCCAAAUUUGAAUCCAUUUAACAUUGAGUGAAAUUGAUAAAAAACAAUGAGGAAAUGAACAAACCUGGUUGCUUGAUGUUCGAACUGCAAUGCUAUGCAAAUACUCAGAAUGCCCCUUAAAGAUCAUUUUACAUUUGCCAGUCUCCUGCAGCAGCAAUUAUGUCCAAUGAAUAGGCAGUAAUGAUAAAUUACAACAUGAGAAAGAGCUUAGUUUAUAAGUUUACAAGUUGUCAAAGUUUCUACUAAUGUCAAGCAAGAUCAUUUUUCUCUCUUUAAAAUGAGCUUUCAACCUAAUCUAUUUACCUUAUAGAGAUACAUACCACAUCCCAACAAUAUGCGCAUGCAUCACCAGAGGCUGAAUAAAUGGAACCAUCCUAUUCAAGAAGAAAGAACAUCAUUUAAAUGAGAAAAAGAACUAACCAGUAAUGAGUGUCGCUUGCGGACAUGAAAGGAUAGUGAAAGAGAUCAGUUCUUAUUUCAGGGGCUCUAAAUAAAAUGCAAAGUAUUAACACAGUCAUUUUCUGGAGACCGAUCUAUGCCAUUUGGAGAAUCAUCUUUGCCCCUUAUUAUAUGCCCUAAAAGAACUUCAAAAAUGAUUCUAUUAUCUUUAUAUCACAUUUUGCAGGGGACAAGAUUUAUGCAUCCGCUGAAAGGAGAAAUGCUGAUUAUUUUUAAAAAGGAGAGCUUUGGUGAAGGUUUCAGUGCUAAGCCUCAGUUCCAACUCUCCAUAUCAGAUCAGUUAAAAGGUUCAUAUUCCUGAUUUGCACAUACAUUUUAAGUUUGGCCCAAAUGACUUUAAGAUUCAGCUGUUCCAGUUUUGUUAAUUUUAGAUUUUAGUUUACUAGUUUCGUUGCGAGUAAGAAAAUAUCCAAAGUUUCUAAUGAAGUCUGCAAAAGAGACCACACAAGUAAAAAAUCCGAAAAAGGUAUUACCUGCUUAUUAACUGCAAUGGCAUUAUUUUCAGGUACCGGAGAAAGGACGCCCCAAGGACCUCUAAAAAGCGAGGAAAAGAGAAAAUUUAGGCUCCAGAAACAUUUUAAUCAGAGAGAGAUAGAGAGAGAAUUGCAUAUAUCACUUCAUAUGCAAUAUAUGAUGCUUCAUAACUCCUUAAUCCUUCUUUACUUCAGAUGACUCCUUAAUCCUUCUUUACUUCAGACGCCUUUUUUUAUUUCCUAGCUGUUUUGCCCUAAAACUGUAUUUCAUAUUUGUGGUCCCACCUCACUCGCCCAAUCAAAAUCAUGGCUGUACAUGAAGUUAAAAUGACCCCAUGUUGAGAUAACAUAUAAUUAAGAAAGCAUUUUUAAGAUACAUAUAUUUGCAAACUACUGAUGCUUAUCACGAGCCUGCUUCACAACAAGGGAGGUAGAGGGUUACAAUAAGUUGAUAACGGGACUCAAAACUUGGGAAAUAAUCACGUCUGUAAUCCCAAUCAUAUAUGUUAUAUCUACCCAUACUUGGAAAAAUCACCGACCAUACAAAGAUAAAAUCAUAUCAGCCACACUUAGAAAUCAAAACACCUAACCAGAAGAGGUAGCAAUAAGAUGGAAGUCCAAAAAGAAAGGAUGAUUGUAGUAUCAAGAUACUGAAGUAGUCUCAAGCAUGUUACUGUUACAAGGGCAAAGAAUGUGAUGCUCCUAUUUCAUGUUUUUCAAUGGUUCAAAAAAGCACCAUUUAAGGAAGGAAGCACACAAUGCAUAAGAUGCUAAAGCAAAGCAAGUGUUAUCAUGUAGGUCCGUGUACCAAAAGUGUCUCUACAUGAGAAGGUCCGUGACUGAAGCAGUAUUUAUAUAACUAUACAGCUCAAUCAUGGACAUGGUAUGAAACAAGAAAUUGGAGCAGAAUUUUAGGGGGUGUUUGGUUCACCCCUUCUUCACCCUAGAAUAGGAAUCGGAAUGGACGAAUCCAUUUGUCCGUGUUUGGUAUGCGGGAUUUCCAUUCCGAUUCCGAUUCCGGGUGAUUGGGAAUCCCCCUACUUACGCAUUUUUCCAAUCCGGCUAAGAAGGCUGGAUUGGAGAUUGAAUCUGGGCGGAAUGGAUUUGUUCAGGUUAAAUUUAACUUUUUUAAGCUUAUUUUUAAUUAAAACAUAAGUUUAUAUUUUAAAAUUAUAUUUAUAAAUUUACAUUUUAAUUUGAACUUAAAUUAAAAAUUAAAAUGCAAUCAAGUAUUUCGAAUCUAAUUUAUAAAUUUGAAUUUAAAUUUAAAUUUAAUUUAAAAUCUAAAGUUUUAUUCAAAUUUUAUUUAAAAUUUAAAUUAAAUUUAUGGAUUCAAAUUGAAAUUUAAAUUAUAAUUGUAAGUUUGAAUUUGAAUAAAUCAAAAUUUAGUUUUAUAUUUUGAACUAUCUAUUCAAUUUCAAAUUUUAAUUUUUAAAAAAAUAUAUAUUUAAAAUUUUGACAUCAUUUUAAAAUUUUGACCUAAUAUUUAAUUUUCAGUUUGAAUUUAAACUAAUAUAUUAUAAAGAUAAAACUAAUAUAUCAAUUUGAUUACGUUUCUGAUAUCUAUCUGAACUAAACACCCACAAUGAGAAUGAUUCAUUCUGAUUCCGAUUCAGGUGGCGAACCAAACAGAAUGAGAUAAUGAAUCAUUUCGAUUCCACUUCUAGCUUAUUCUCAUUCCGAUUUCGACUUGAACCAAACACACCCAUAUUUUCUUCUGAAUGCUAGUUCUUGUGCAAUCAACAACAUAAUAUUUGGUAAACAGCAAGAUGAAAAUUAGUUAGUACAAAGCAAAUUACCAAAAAAAUAGUUAUAAAAGUUAACUAGGAAAAUAAAAAAUGAAGGUUAUAAAACAAUAAAUAAAACAAAGAAUGGUACACCUUUCACCUUACUAAAAGAUUUGCUUUGUUCUGACUAGGUAAAUGCGAUAAAAAAGUUCAUUAACCUUGCAGAACGCUACAUAUAUAAUGCAAUCUUUUGUAACAUCUGGGACAAAUUUGCUACAAAUAUACUAUGGAUUUGCCGAUACCAAGCUGAGUGAAUGAGCGCAUGAAGGAAUGCUUUCAAAAGCGGUAGAAAGAUACCAUGUUCGAUACUCACCUAGAUGGACAACCAGUCAACCUCGAUUCCCUUAGCAGUGGCAUUGUGAAAAUGGAAAGAGCUCCUACCCAGUAGCAAAAGUACUAUACUAAAGCUCAUUUUCCCUAAAUAGCUGGACCUUGGGCAAUCUACUCCUGCCUCGACAAGAUCUCAAUCAGUAAGACAACAAGCUUCUUGACUUGAAAGACUACUUCCUUUGCCCUCUCAGUUCUCUCCUUCCUUUCUGGAGUAAGGGGCCGAGUCUAUAUCCCUCAAAGACGACCACUUGAAGAAGUCCUUCAUUGGACUGACAUCAAAGUGCCAAUCCAAAGAUCAGAGACAACUCUCGGGAUCCCACCCCUCGCCCUUUUAGGCUAAGGGAAUGGUUCUCGAAGAGGAAGGGUUCAGAGGCCAGUCCCCCUUUGAAGAGGGGAGGUGGACCUUAAUGUACGCACUAAGAACUCUCUUGAUAUAAGAGAACUUAGCACUAGAUGAGUACUCGUGAAGAUGGAGUAAAUGGUCAAAUAAUAAAGGUUAUGUGUGUCAAGGAGAAAGAAUAAGAGGAUUUUCACAUCGACUGGGGUUUUAGUCUAUCAAAGGGUAUCUGAUAUAAAUUAUAAAUAAUCCAAGAGGAAAGAUAUUUUAUAUGGGUAUAAUAAACAAGAAGGAUAAAAAUAUCAACUGAGUCAAAGUCUCUGAACAUAUGUUAUCAUAUCAGACCUCAAUGUAGACUAAUGGAGAUGCACUAAAUAGGAAGAACAAAAACAAAAUACCAAAGUUAAUUUAAGAUAAAAAAAUUUCUAUUGUAGAAAUCUUACUCAUGUUGAGGGUUCACAAAGUCAAGUAUUGGCUUCAGAUGGUUACCUGCAAACAAGAAUGCUCAAAGCUUCACAAUGCAGCCCAAAAUUACUUCACAUAAGACCAUUCUGUCACUGGAACCAUCAUAGUUUCAUAGAAGAAACAGCAAAGCAAGUGUUCAUGAGAAAGUAAAUAUAGCCAUAAUGUAAGUAUAUAAAUGUGACUCUUCUAAUCUUCAUAUCCAAGUCCAUAAACAACAUAAGCAUUUAUAAUUUAUAGUUACAGAACUAACAAAACAUAGGGGUAAAGCAAUGCAUCUUUAGAAUCCAAAUAUCACCAAAGCUGCUCCUUGGCUUUGUCAUUACAUUGCAAUCUUGGAAUACUGUAACAGUUUUCUUCAUAGAAAGGCACAGUGAACACAUGGCCAUUCUUAGAGCAACAGUAAGAAGAGACUCCCUAACUAAGAGAUCUGUGGCCAUUUGAAAUACAAAUAUUUCCAAAGAAAGGAAACAUUGAAUAUGUAUCAAUGAUUUGCAAGAUACCUUGAAGAGAAAGAGGAACAUCAGAACUUAGUACUUCAAUCCAUCUCCAGCCUCGUAUCCUGCCAUCAUCACCACAACUGCAUAGAACGCGCAAUGUAAGCUUAGUGUUCAGAUAAUCUGAGAAGAUAGCAGUAAUUCGCAACAAGUAUCAUUCUUGAAAAGAAUAAAAACAUUAGGACAAGGUCAUUUUACAUAAAGAAAUAACUUGGGUUGUUUAUUAUGAUGAUAGAAAUGGAAAAGACAUAUCUUUAAUUGUACGAAAUAAAGCAUGUGAAGAUAUAUGAUGAGCGUAGUACGAACCUCAAUAACAAAGAUUCCUCUCCAUCCUCAAAGAAUUUUAAAUCAUAUGCAGGGCCUUUGUGCCCUUGAAUGAUGCAGAGUGGAUCCACAGAUGAAGAUUCAUAAAGAUGCCUUCACAUGAUUAAUAAGAAUAAAUUAGAACUAAUUGUUAAUGGACAAAAAUAAGCAAAUCAGGGCAUUUUAGUAACACUUACUGUUGAUCAACUUUCCUACUAAAAUGCAUAGGCUGCAAAAGAGAAGCUAAGUCAACAGGUGGUUCAUUUACCAGCAAAAAGAAAAGAAGAACAUUCUAUGCCCAAUAACAUUUCAUUUUUUUCCCUUAAUUCCCGAAUAAUUGAGAAUGACUGUAGCUAAAUAACAUAGAAAACACUUUGUGUGCUUAACUAGGCUUGAGAAUCAAAAGAAAAAUAAUUGAGGUAUUAUAGCCUGCACCUGGUAUACCCAUAAAUCUCAUCAACCACACUAAGAAUUUGUUGAUGAAUGUUUUAAAAUCAAAAUUAAAUCGAAUAGAUGUGAUCUACAACAUGGAUCACAGCAUCUAAAGGUCCCAUGGAUGAUACAUUUUGAAAACAUAUUGGCUAGGUGUCAAGUAAUGCCAAAAUCAAUAUUAUAGAAAAGGACAUUGUUUAGUUCAUACAAAAUAAGUCAACAAAAUUUGUAGUUUUUGAUAUGUAGGCCAUUUGAGUAUCAUAGAGCACAUUCAAUGAAUUAAAUUCUGAUUUUGAGGCAUCCAUGGUAGGUUUAAGGUGUGCAUCGCACGUCGCACCAGGUGCAUGCAAUAAAUUCUCAUAGUUGAGAGGGUCUCCAGACAAUUUCAUACAAUUUUACCUAAAAUUGUACGGAGACCCCCUCAACUGUAGGCCAUUUUUUAAAUGUCUUGACACCCUGUUUGAAUCGAGCCGAGUGUCCCAGACGGGUUGACCGAGUCAAACUGUUGACCAAGUCAAAACAUUUCUGACUUACGAAUCAGCUCAGAAGAUGACCCUCGAUUAAUGAGAUCAAGAUAGGUUGAGGAGGCAUCUGCUCAACCGGUUUCUUUCUCAAAUGCGUAAAAGCUCUUCGGAGAUGAAACGAACUCAAGAUCUUCGCACUGAAUCAGCUCAAGCUAGAGCCGAACUAGUUGGAUUUCAUUAAAAUAUUAAGUAGAACGCUGAAGGUUACAAGGAAAAGAGCGCUAAAGCUCAAGUUACAGUCUCUCGACUAAAACUAAAAGCUAAACUCUAAAAACUAUAGCCAUUCUUAGGAAAAGCUAUAAAUGCUGAGAACGGAAAGAAGUUUAAAAACAAUGGUCUUCGACACGGGAAAAGACUUUUAUUGCAGGCAACUUUCCGCUAUUUAUAGACUUACUAUCAAUCUUCAGUUAGUUGUUGUACGGUUGUCGCUUCGUGGGGAAUGCUCUGGCCAUUUUCUUUCGGUUACAAAAUCACUCUCUCGUCUCUCAACCGUUCCCACCCAAAAUCCAUUUGUCUUUAGGCUCUUUUUCUCCGGUUCUUGGUGUACCACAUAUCUUUUUUUUUUUUUGUUUGACCUCAUGAGCUGAGCCGACUACCAGUUUAUCACAUUUUCUUACGCCAACACACCCACUUAACUUUUUACUUUUUUUAUUUAGCCAAAAUAAAUUGGAGAUUAUCAAAUUAGUUAGCAAUUCGAUCAAAUUAAAUAAUUUUAAUCACUUAUUAGCAAAUAAAAUUGAAACAGUACCCAGCUAAUAGCUCAUAGAGACAUUAAAGUUGACCAAAUUUUCUACUUAACUAACAAUAAUAACUCAAAUUAAAAAUAUAUAUGCUGAAGCGAAGGGGAUCUCAAAUAGAAAAAAAUAAAAAAAAGUUAAAUUGAAGAGUCUUUUCAAAAUGAUCAAUAUUUGAGGGGGUUUCCAAACAUUUUAACCUCCAUUUUAACCCAAAAAUCGAGUAAAUAACCCGUGAUUCUGCAUAAACUACUAAAAACAACAGUAAAGAGAGUUAAUUGAUCGAAGUAACCUGGGAAUGGGAGGAGGAGAUGCAGGAGGAGAUGGAGUAGGAGGCGAGGGAUCCGUCGCUCGAGGCGACGACUAGGGUUUUGGGGCUAGGGUUUUGGGAGGGAGCGAACGCGGUUCUAAAGACGGUGCGAGAGACGAUCUCCCUCUCCGUGAGGACGCUCCGCCUAUAGCCUUCUUCGUCCCAAUCCCUCGCAUCCCAUCGUCGUCGUCGUCCUCCUUCUCCUCCGGCCCCCGCCAUUGUCGACCUCGGGAGCUUUUGCGCAGCGUUCGAAACGAGCGAGAGAGGGGAGUAAAGGGUUCGUGUUUUCGUAGUUAAGAGGUAAAAUUGUAUGGGAACCCCUCAACUAUGGGAAACGGUGACAUUCACUCCUCAACUUCUUAUUUUUCACUUUUUGGUGAUAAUUUCAUAUGUAUAAUAAUAAUAAUUUAGGCGUUUAAAAUUGGGGAUUUAUUACUGUAAAGUUUUAAUUAUUAUAUUUUUUUUUUGAAGCUUCAAAAUGUAGAAAUUUAUCUUUAUAAGUUAAUUAGCGUAAGUUAACCAUUAAAUUUCACUGUUUGGAUCAUUAUUCGACGUUUGGUUAGAGAAUAGGGAUAGGGAUAGGCCCUUAUCCCCUUUAUACCCAAACGCUAAUUUUUUAUCCGAUAAUAGUAGUUCUCGGUUAUCCCCACCAACACCUCUAUUUUCUAUAUAAAACUAUCUAAUAUUUUCUUAUUCCCGGGAACAACCCAAUUUUCAUCCAAACGCUAUUUUUCUUAUCCCCAUACUUGUACCUAUCCCUGUAAUAGUUAGUUCUUGCUUAUAUCCGAACCAAACUGUAGAUAUAUCAUUUAGUUUGGGUAGAAGUAAGUACUACUGCCUAUUCUAGGGAUAGGUAUAAGUUCAUGUAUAAAAUAAGAACUAAACCAAUAUUGCGUUUGGAUGAAAAUUGGGUUGUUUCGAGGAAUAAGAAAAAUAGCAUUUGGAUAAAUAAAAUAGAAUAAGAAAGAUAGUAGGUAAUUAUAAAUAAAAAAUAAUAAUAUUACCCCUCACAUUAUAUUUGAAUUUGAAUUUUUAAAUUUUAUAUUUAAAAUUUUAAUUUUUAAUUUUUAAAUUUUUAAAUUAAAAUUUUGAAAUUUAAAAUCUUAAUUUUUAAAUUCAAAAUUUUAAACUUUAAAUUUCAGACCAAAUUUAAAUUUGAAAAAUAUAAAAUAUCAAAUUUUAAAUUUUAAAAAUUUUAAUUUUUAAAUUUUAAAUUUAGAAUUUAAAAUUAUAAAUUUUAAUUUUGAGAUUACAAAUUAUAAAUUUUAAAAUUUNUUUAUUAUAAUAUUUAAAUAUAAUUUAUUAUAAAUUUUUUUAUAAUAUUUAAAUAUAAAUAAUAUGUAUUAAUAUAGUACAAUUAAUAAUUUUAUAAUGAACAUAAUAUAUUAUAAUAUAUAACAUAUUAUAUUUAUAUAAUUUAGUUUUAAUUCAAUUUAUAAUUUUAAUAAAGUUUGAAAUUAAAUAUUGAAAUAGCACUAUUCCACUAAAAUGGUGGAAUAGCAAAACCCAAGUUAUUCUGGGAUAACCGAGAAUAGCAAGGUUUGACAGGAAUAAAAUAUUCUGGUCGAAAAUCAUCCCGUUUGGCAUAAUAGCGGAAAUAACUUUUGUUAUUCCUGCUUAUAUCCCAAACUUAAAAUCCAAAUUAGGUUUUAAUAACUAAAAAAAUUUAAUGUGGUAGGUGAUAGAAAACUAGUCUUUAGAUAGGCUAGUUGUAUUUUUUUUUUUUUUUUUAGAGAAAGGUCGCAUUCUACCUGGUUCGUUUAUUUCAUUUAGAAAUAAACUUAGCUAGAAAUAUGAAUCAACUAAGAUUCGAACUUGGGUCUCGGGUACCAACCACUAGGCUAGUUGUAUGUAGAUGUAGUAUUGCUAUGAGUUCCAACUAAGAUUCGAACUUACAAAGUUACAACUCUAUUGUUGUAAUCUUACAACUUAGCUCAUCUAAAGGCUAUAAUCACCAUAUUAGUCUUAUUAAUUUUUUUAACACUAAAAAUCAAAAAUAGAUUGUUUAAUUUUUUAAACUAUUGGAUCAAGGGUUGUAAAGAUUAUAGAGUUGUGUUUCUAGAAAAAGUGUGAAAAUUUCUUUUUCGAGAAAAUAAAUUUUUAUGAAAAAACUUCUUUUAAAGCUUUUCGCCAGUUUAGUUUCAAAGAAAACUAACAUUUUUGAAAAGUUAUUUUUCAAAUUUGAUGGAAAAAUCGUGUUUUCGUUUCCUAAACAAAACUCAAAAAAGAAAAACACUAGCUUUCCAUAAAAUUAGAAAAGUAGCUUUCUAAAAAUAUUAAUUUUUUAAUACCAAAUAGGUGAAAAUUUAAAAAUAUUUUUUUUAAAUUUUUUGGCUAAAUUAGAGAAGACCCCAUUAUAAAUAUUUGCUUGUUUACUUUUUCUUCUUAAUUUUUAAAAAUUUAUAUUUUACUCUCUCAAUAUUUCAACUUAUUGUAUUUAACUCCUCUAUCAGGGUUCCAUUACUAUUCUAUUCAUUUCUUAUAAUUUAUAAUAAAAAUGACCUUUAAAAUGACAUAUUAUUUUUUUCUUUAUAGAGGAACUAAGGAUAGUUUUAUCAUUUUGCCCGCUCCAUUAACAUCGUGUCCCCUGAAAAUAUUUUUGAAAUUUUUAAGGGACAAAAUAUAGAUUUUUAAAAGUCAGAGAAGAAUAAUAAAAAAAAAAAGUAUUUACAUAAAAAUUUUCUAUAAUUUAGUUUUUAUUAAAAAAAUUAUCGAAGAAUAAAAUAGUCCUUAACACCCAGUUUGGUUCGAGUACAUAGGGCUCCGUUUGGAUCGGGAAUUAGUAGGAACUAGUUAUACCGAGAAUAGGUACAAGUAUGGAUUUUUGUAGAAAUAAGGGUAUUUUUUUGUUUGGAUGAAAUUGUGAGUAUAAGCUGGAACUAGAAAAAUUGUGUUUGGAUGAUUUUUGAGAAUAAGAGGAAUAAUUGGUAGUUAUAAAUAGAAAACAAUAAUAUUAUUCCUAUAAUUGAAUUUUAAACUUAUAAUUUUAAAUUUAAAAUUUUAACUUUUAAAUUUUAAAAUUAGAUAUUAAAAUUUUUAAUUUUAAAUAUCAAAAUUUAAAUUUCAGACCAAAUUUAAAUUUCAAAGUUAUAAAAUAACAAAUUUAAAAUUUAAAAACUAACCAUAUCAAAUUUAAAAUUUAAACUUUAAUAAAAUUUAAAAUUUUAAUUUAUUAAUUAUAGUUAUAAAAUUAUAAAUUUUAAAAAUUUAUAUUUAAAUAUUCUCUCUCUCUCUCUCUCUCUCUCAAGUGGGUUGGAACAAGCUUGGGAACAAGCUUGGCAACGGGUGAUCCGUUAUGGUGGGAACACUUGUUCUCACUAUGAAAAAAUUGUGUUUGGGUAUAAAGGGAGGGAUAUCCUCCUUAUCCCCCUUUUAUAUCCGAGCCAAACGGGGUGAGGGGGAAUAAGAUCUUAUUCCUUUCAUUUGUAUCCAAACAAGAAUUGGAAGAGUUAGGAAUUAUUAUUCCCACCCCUUAAUGGCAUGUUGUUUUGUAAUUUUUAUUUCAAAAUAUUAAAUUAUUUAUCUCCAUAAUUUUUAUUCAAUUUUAUUAAUCAUUUUUAAACUCACCAAUUUAAAUGCAUAUUACUUUACUUAAAAAAUGAAAGUGGAAAGUUUAUACUGCCAUAGGUUCAGAAAGCGAGAUAGUUAUUUCUUAAUUUUUACUACCAAUUAUUUCUCUUAUUCUUCUUAAUAAUUCAAACACUAUUUUUUUUUAUUUCUGCCGAUACUCUAAUUUUUAUCUAAAUAAAAAUUUAUUUUAAAUUUUACUUAUAUCCGAACCAAACAACCGAUGGCUACGGAGAUAACUCUAGUAUAAUUAACCCAAUUACUUAACCCAAUUAAUUAAUUAAUUAAUUAAUUAAACAGAAUAAUAAUAAGAGGGGUAAGGAAGGGUUCUUUUUCUCCCUUCGUCUCUUUCGUGCCGCAAUCGGACCGCUGUGUUCGAUUUGGAUUGAGGCGUGCUUCGAUUCGACGCUUCCCGACCUUUCCUCCAUCGCCCGCCCCCCUCCCCCUUUUUCUCGUCGUCUUCGUCCUCUUCCUCUUCCUCUUCCUCGGUGCUACCGAAACCAAAAACCCUAGACCAAUCAGGAGGCGACUUCCCUCGGCAAUCGAAUCCCUAGUUUCGGAUCUCCCUUCCUGCCCUUCCGAUCGGAGCUUCCACGGGGUUUUGGUUUUAGGGCUAGGGUUUCGUGUCUCUGAUCCGCGGAGAUGGAGCCUCGCGUGGGGAGCAAGUACCGCCUCGGUCGCAAGAUCGGGAGCGGUUCCUUUGGGGAGAUCUAUCUAGGUUCGCGCUGAUCUUGGGAAAUUCUUCGUAAUUUUUUUGAGCUUUUAGAAGGAUAAAGAUUUGGUUUUUACGGGUUUCUGAAUGAUGUUCUGGUUACUUUGUAUAGGUACUAAUGUUCAGACGAACGAGGAGGUCGCGAUUAAGCUUGUAAGUAUCGUAGCUUCGGGAGAGCAGUGCUUGUGUGUUGGGCCUGCUUAAUAUUGAUGUUAGAUCUUUGCUUUAUAUGUGUCAUCCCUUUUUUCUCCUACUAUUAGGUCAUGUGCCAGUUUUAGGUGUUCAAUCUUGAUUAUUAAUGUUUGUAGUGGUGUUAGAUUUCUUUUGCUAGCUUUGUAGAUUACUUCCGAGGCAAUUAGGAAAUAGUUGUGUGUAUGUUGAUUUGCUCCAUUAUUUACCUUUGUUUGUUGUAGAUAUAUGUAGAGCGUUAUAUGUAAUUUUUUUACUACCUUCUUUAAGUCGAGAUCGGCAGAUCCUAGUACUUUUUGCCCCGCUUUAAUCAGUUCUUGUUUCUAGCUUCGCCGAGCUCCACCCUAUGUUAACCGCAUGACAGUUCUUUAUUGUCAAGUUUGAUUCAAACAAAAUACAAGUUUGAUUUGCUUGGUUAGAACUUUAGAUGAGUCUUUGCUAAGACGGAAUAACAGUUGCUACUCAAAAAAGGAAAAAGAAAAAGAAAAAAGUAAAAAAGACAACAGCUAGCAAGGAUGCCUAUUUGAGCUGUGAUUUUAAUGUUGGAGGUUGUAAAAGGUCAUUCUAAAAAUACAGGCGCGACAGAAGUGGAAGACUCCAGAUCCAGAGAGAGCUGGUGAAAUAGAAGAAGGGUGUUAUCUAUAGGGUUAGACUGAAGAGUACAUUAGAGAUAGCUGUUGACUAGGCAAAAUCCAACUGCCAUUCCAUAGAGGAAGUAAUUAUUUUUUAGUAUCUAUUAUUUACCACGCCUGUGGGUUGUUGAUGGGGACAUCACAAACCUGCAUUGUUGCUAUUUCCAGGAUUAGGCUGCUUAUAGGGGUAUUGCACUUGCUCAGUUUUAGGUGAUCUUCCAUAUGGUUAUAACAUGUUAGUGUGGGAUUGCAUGGAUAUUUACCGACACAAGAUGCUCCUUGAUCCUCUUGUCAAGAUUUAAGGAUGUCUUCAUAUUUUUUCAAUGACAGUUUCUCUUUAAACUGCUUGCAUUAUUGUCUUCGUGAAUGAUAUCUGAAUUGUAUGCAAAUUUAUUUUUUUAAUGAAUAUCUCUAGUAUAUAAUUCUUGCAACUACCUUGUACCCUUUUCUUGUCCUAAUGUAGAUUAUUCAGUUUCUUAUGCUUGUUAUAAUUAUAAACCAAUUUUUUUUUGUUGAAUUUGCUUUUGCUAUUGUGAUAAUGUUCUGGUGGUUUAAAAUGACAUACACUUUCUUUCUUUCAGGAAAAUGUGAAGACAAAACAUCCUCAAUUACUAUACGAGUCAAAGCUGUAUAGGAUUCUACUAGGAGGAAGUAAUAGAACAUUCUCCUUCCUUUUUGACUUGUUACUGACAAAUAAUGGCUUUUGAUACAUAUACUCUUCCAUUUUAUUAUGGUUUUGGCAGCUGGAAUUCCAAAUGUGAGAUGGUUUGGCGUUGAAGGAGACUAUAAUGUCUUGGUGAUGGACUUAUUGGGACCAAGUCUCGAAGAUCUUUUUAACUUCUGCAGCAGAAAACUCUCGUUAAAGACUGUUCUGAUGCUUGCAGAUCAGAUGGUAACGUAUUACCGUACAUGCUGUGAUUUACCAUAACCGCUAUAUUUUCUUGUGCUAUUUUAUUUGUCCAAUACGCCUCUGCAUAAUCUGUUGCCACUGUUUUUCUUUUGUACAUGUGUCCCUCAUGUUGGAACUAUUUGGCUCAUGUAAUAGAAGGCCCUCUUUUCUUUGUGGUGCUUUGUGCCUUGUCAUUUGUGUUCAUUUCAUGCUAACAUAUUUAGUGAGGAAGUGCACCUUCUCUUUUAAACAUCGUUUGUAAUUACACGUCUAUCUUAGUAUUUUCUUCUCAGCAUGCUCAAAUUUUGUUCUUCGUUUUCUUUAUGUUGAUUUUACUUUUUGUAACUCGUGUUAACUUUUCUACUUAGAUUAAUCGAGUGGAAUUCGUCCACUCAAAGUCUUUUCUGCAUCGAGACAUUAAGCCGGAUAAUUUUCUAAUGGGUCUUGGAAGGCGAGCUAAUCAGGUGGCCUAUUGAAUUUCCUUGAAUGUAGUUCUUUUUUAGCACUUUUUACUGUCGAUUUUAUGAUCUGUUUCAUUUUGUUACUUUCCUUUUUUCCUCUCCAGGUCUACAUUAUUGAUUUUGGUCUUGCCAAGAAGUAUAGGGAUACUUCAACUCACCAGCACAUACCAUACAGGUAUCUAUUGCAUUCCUUAUUUUCUUUGGUCUGCUGUCUUGAGCGUGUGAAAAGAGUGAUGAUUCAAGUAGCUAAAUACACCACUUCAUUUUAUAUUUUAGAUUUUGUGAAUGGUAUGAAUCUUGAAAGUGUAAAUCUUUUUCCCCAUAAAAAUAUGGGUUGUCAACAGAGAAACAGAAAUUCUAAAUCAUUUCUUCUUGGAUAUGCAAUAUGUUUGUUGUAAUAUCAAUAUAGAGAGCUGAAGCAACAAAUUUGUUCCAUUGAUACCACAUUAUUAUAAUGGUAUCACUAACUUGACUUCUGGUGUUUUUACACUUAAUAAUUAGCAAUCCCUUAUUAAUUAGCUAUUAAACCAGAUCUUCAUAUAAAGUUUUCGCUGAUAAUGCAGAGAGAACAAAAAUUUGACUGGGACUGCUAGGUAUGCCAGUGUGAACACCCAUCUGGGCAUCGGUAAGUAGAGUGUACAUUAUACCUGAUUUCUGAAGCAUUUUAUUGGAUAGCAAGCAUUCUAAAAUGCUUCCUUCUGAAUUAUUGCAGCAGACUUUUUUGUUUUUUUGUUUUUUACUUUUCUUCUUGCAUUAGAUACUUUCAUCAGAUGCUUUGUUUAGCUUGCAUUCUUAUUCAUAUUUUGAAUACUUUUUUUUCUCUGGUGCUUAGAGCAAAGCAGGCGGGAUGACUUGGAAUCUCUUGGAUACGUACUCAUGUAUUUCUUAAGAGGAAGGUUUGUUAUCUUAUUCAUUUUCCUACCCUUUAUUCCUUUUCUUCUGUUAAAUAAGAUUUUUUAAACCAUAUGGUACUUUUGCUGUCUUCAGCCUUCCAUGGCAGGGCUUGAAAGCUGGAACCAAAAAACAGAAGUAUGAAAAGAUUAGUGAGAAAAAAGUUGCCACAUCAAUUGAGGUGAUCUCUUUGUUACCUGGUGAAUUGAACACAACAUAUUGUUUCUAUUACAAUUCAGUGAUGAUUAAGAAUUUUUGAAUGAUUUUCAGGCUUUAUGUCGCGGAUACCCUACUGAAUUUGCAUCAUACUUUCACUACUGUCGUUCACUUCGCUUUGAUGAUAAGCCCGAUUAUUCUUACCUUAAGAGAUUGUUCAGAGAUCUUUUUAUCCGCGAGGGUUUGUUUCCUAUUACGAUUUUCAUUUGAAGAUAUCAAAGAUGAAAAUUUAUGAUAACUGCACAAUAUGUGGAUAAUUUAGCUACUUGAGGAUGGUGAUUUUCUGUGAAUUUUUCUGUUUUUGUAGGAUUUCAGUUUGAUUAUGUGUUUGACUGGACCAUUUUGAAGUAUCAGCAGUCGCAGAUUACCGGCGCUCCUCCUCGUGUUCUUGUGAGCCACAUGCUUAAUAUAUGUUUGUAUUUUACUUAUUUUCUUCACUAGAAGUUUCUAAAUCUCCUCUAAUUGUUAGGGACAUGGUGCUGGACCAAGCUCUGGUGUGGCCCCUCCGAUGGUAAAUGAUAGGCAAUCAGGUAGUGCAUCUAACAUCCUCAUUAUUUUCUAAGUUUUCCUUUUUCUUGAAAUUUAUGCAACAAGCAACUGUUCCUAGAACUGAUCAAAUGUUAAACUCUUAAAAACAUAGUCAUUCAAGAUUUUUGUUUUAGUUUGACUACUAGGCAUCUGAUUUAUAUUGAUUCCAGUGAUCAUUAAUCGAGAUUUAUAUGCUCUUAGUUUGAUGAGAAGUGUUUAUCUUAUUAUUUAUUUUGAAAACUUGAAUACCUCAUGGAGGAGUAAUCUGAGCUGUUGAAUAUUUUGUUGUAGGUGGUGAAGAAGCAAGGGCGAGUGGCUGGUCAGCAAUGGACCCUUCGAGGCGGCGCGCAACACCUCCAGCUGUGAAUAGUGGCAGUUUGUCAAAGCAGAAGACUCCUGUGGUGAAUGAUUCAUCCGGUACUAAAGAUGCCAUGGUGAGUUCUUAUUUUGUUUUGAUGGCUUUUCCUGCGUGUUGCUAUUUAAUUUUGUAAUCAUUAGAUCAGACGUUGUUGGGCUUUUAGAAGAUCAGUUAGUGUCUUUACUUCUUUUGUGCGCGUUAUUGUGAUAUUCGAGAUUUAAUCACUAUUGUUGGGCUAUAUCUGGUUUCCUUGUUGCUCGUGGCAUUUCCCUUUUUUAUGAUUGUUUAAGUGUGUUUUCCUGCAUAUUUUUUUUCUCGAUCUGAUGUCUGUGACACUCAACUAUAAGGCUAUGCGCAUUCUACUCAACUUUUCAACUUUGAUCCGCCAUGUUAAUUUUGAUCAAGAUAUUCCUUUGGAAUAUUUCACAAGUAGUUCCUGAGAGAUGUUAAGUGGUUAUUGUUUGCAGUAUAAUUCCUGACCGUGAAAGCUUAUAUGGUGUAGUUAUCCAGCUCAACUUUUCUUGGACGGUCAAGUGGAUCCUCAAGGCGAGCAGCUGUUUCUAGCAGCCGGGAUGUGGCAGGUCCAGAAAUUGACCAAUUACGAACUCGUACGACAGACGCAAGCCCUGGAACUUUCCGAAAACUCUCCGGUCCUCAGAGGAGCUCACCUCCGGUCGGUUCUGCCGAGCCCAAGCGCUCAUCUUCUGGCCGGCACUCGUCCAACAUCAGGAACUACGAGUCAACUCUUAAAGGCAUUGAAGGCCUUAAUUUUGACGGCGAUGAGAGGGUCAAGUACUAAUGAGCUAUAACUCGCUGAAUGAGAAAUUGUCAUAUUUGUCAACACUCUGAUUGGAGGAAGUUACAUACUUGGUAUGUCCUUUUUCCUUGAGGAGAGGGGAGAGAGGGUUAUGAAGAGGCCGGGUGGGGAUGUGGUUGGGGUUUGAAGUGCUUUACUGAGGUAUUUUUCCUGGAGAUGGCUAAUAAGACUAUGAGAAGGGUGGGUGUGAGGAGAAGGGAGGUGGUUUUGUACAUUUGGAGCUCUUUUAUUUCCUCAGGCCUCGUUAUUAUUAUUCUAUUUAUUUUCCUCGGAUAUUCUUUGUUAGGGUGGAAUUUACAUCCCAUGUUGUUUCCACAAAGUGUGACAAUGGUGUUAAACCAUUGGAAUUGUAUUUAAAAUGAAGUGUUCAGGACUGCAGUUAGGAUUCGUGUUUCUCUUUGCUGGAUAGUUAACUUGUACCUCUUUUUCUAUCUGAGUGAUGAAUCAUAGUUCUUACCUCCUUAGAUGUUUCUAUAUUGAAUCAUUUUAUCUGCGGAUCAUUAUUAUUUUUAUUCUUUUCCCCAUCAAAUAUGGAUUUCUACAUCAAGUUUGUUGGCCAGGUUAUGUGUUGCGAUUCUUUCGUAACAGAGUUUUGUAUUGUGGAUGGUGCUUUUAAAAAUAUAUAUAUAUUUUUAUUUUUUUUAGGGUUUUCUGGAGCAACAGAAGGACUUAUAUAUCAUUCUUUGAGCAUGAUAACUAUUGGUCUUCUAAAUUGCUGAGCAUAUCUUAGUUUGUUCUUGUAUAUGAUUUUGCAUUUUCCUCAUUUUGUGCUAUUUGUGCCAAUCUUAAAAGCACUUUACAGGAUGGUACUUGCAGAGCUGAGAUUGAAGCUACAAUUGCAAAGCUUAUUGGAGAAAAGGUUUAUUAGACCUAGUGUAUUGUUUUAGAGAGCGUCGGUGUUGUUUGUGAAGAAAAAUGAUGAAUCAAGAGUUGAAUAAAAUGACUACUAAGCAUAAUAAAGUAUCCGUAUUAAUGACUUUUUAUGUAUUUUAAGAUAAAUUUGCAAUCUGAAUAUUACCAAAGAUGUUCUUAAGAUGGUGUUCAGAAUAGGGUCUGAGCAUCAUAAGUUUAUAGUAAUGCCGCUUGGAUCGGCAAAUACUUCAUCAGUUUUUAUGGAUAUGAUGAACGUGUAUUCAAACUGUACUUAAAUUUGUUUAUAGUGAUGUUUAUUGAAUUUUGGGGGAGUAAAAACUAUAUGCCAAGCUAUAGAUGAGGGUGUGUGACAAGGUUGAAGCUCAGGACUACUAGCAUUGGUAGUUCGGCAUCUUGUGUAGAUUACUAAUGAGGGGAAAGUACUUCGAGUUUUCUACAAAAGGUAUUUUAUGUGUUGCCUAUAAGAAUCAACGGAAGUGUUGGAAUCAUGUACAUCAAUACAUCAACAGUUUGCGAUAGAACCUUUUCUCUUAGUGUUGAAUCUGAUUUUUCAUAAUGGCUCUAAAAUGUCGGAAAUAAGAUAUUUAAUAUCAACUUAUUUGGUAUGAAAAUUUAUUGUGUCGGUGAUUUGGGGAGAGGGUAUAUUUUUACCAAGGAGGUAAUUAUCUUAUUCUAAAACAUAAUUUGAAAGUCAGAACAUGAAAACAUGGCCCAUUGAAAAAGUGAUGCUAGGGCUUCCCACUUUUGCCAGUCAAUUCAACCUUUUGAAGCCAAGUUCCUUCACUUCGGAGUGUUCCACACUGUACGGUAUGUCUUUUUCUUUUGGAAAAAUGGAAUAAUUCAAGGAACUAUAACCCUAAAAAUGCGAUCACAUCACUAUAUCAGCCACUUUUGCACCACUUCACGAAUGAAAGCGGCAACGAAACACCCACACCGCCGGGUUCUAAUUUUUAACACGACAGACGAGUCGGUGCCGUGGCACCCUUGCUUCUAAUUUUUAACACGACAGACGAGUCGGUGCCGUGGCACCCUUGCAUCGCCGACUUCGACACGGUAAUUGAACAACACGCUCGGCCGAUGAAGUCGGCGACGGGGCACUGAUCCGGCGCCGAGAUUAGCAGGGUAACGACUCGUCUUUUUGUUACGUACGUUCGCAACUUCAUUUCCGAGGCAGUGGGAAGCGAGAGUUUUAGAGAGAGAGAGAGAGAGAGAGAGAGAGAGAGAGAGAGGGAGCUUGCGAGUCGCGAGAGAGAAGGGCCAUGGCGGGAGGGGGAGCGCUCCAACUCCUCCCCUCGAUCCCCUCCACCGCUCGCUUCCUCCUCCGCUCCGCCGCCGCGUUUCGCCCAGCUUCCCGACGCGCCGCCGCCGCCGCCGCCGCCGCCACCGUCGGCGGCGUCUCUGGCCCGGCGCCUCGCUCUCCCCCUCGCCCCUCCUUUGUGCGUGCUCCCCAAGCCCGCCUCCAAUCCAGUACGCUCUUCUCUCUCUCUCUAGAUCUCUCUCUCUCUAGCUCUAGAGAGAGAGAGAGAUCUCUCUCGCUCGUUUUUUUUUUUUUAACUGGGUAACGCUUUUGGUGGGAACGUACGAAUCUUUACAUAAAGUAAAGCCUUUGUUAAUAUAGUUACCCACACUUUAUAAAAAGUUUCAAUUUUGUUGCCUAUUCAAAUAACAAUAUUACCUUUCCUCUUAAAGGUACUAAUUUUACCAGCUAAUUUUGUAGUACUUUUUGAAAGAGCUGUUUCGAACUUAUAAAAUUUUUAACUUCACUACCCAACCUAACUUUUCUAUAAUAUAUGUCAUGAGAAUAUAUAAUAUCUUAUCCAAAUUGUUACGAAUGCUGUAAAGUUGGAUAGUAAAAUCAAAAUUUGUAAGGUUCAGGUAAAGUUCGAUAUAUUGUAUCAAGAAAUUGAAAGAUGGGAAUUAUAGACAACUCAUUAUUAGAAAAAUAGUGAAUUUGGUAUAGGUAUCGUAAAUUACGUGAUUGAAGCAUCCAUCGAAUUUCUUUUUUUUUUUUGUCUAAUAUAAAAAUUGUACAUAAAACACAUCAUUUUUUCUAAUUGAAUGCAAGGGAUCUGGAAGUUUAGUACAGAUGCAUGUUUUUGAGUUUGCUGACUAGUACUGUCGGAAGAAUCGACAUGAUAAAUUUUGUACGUAAGCGCAGAUGGUGAACUAUAAGAACAACACAAAUGGUUUUGUUAAUUUGAAGAGAGGUGAUUAGGAGGGUAAAUGCUAAGCUAACUAGAUGCAUGGUCUAAUUAUUUUUUUACUUGUAGUUGUAAAAGAUGAAGAGAAUAAGAAUUAAUGUUUGCAGUGCUGUGAACGGCGGCGGAAAACUAUGGCCUCACUUUUUUUAUUCAUUGUCGUGAGAUGGCUCGCUACUUUGUCCGUUUCAGACUUUUCUGGCACGGAGGCUGAGAGCCACGAACCGUUGGGACAGUCUGAAAUAAUCUUUUUAGGCACAGGAACUAGUGAAGGUAUUCCUAGAGUGAGCUGCCUCACUAAUCAGUCGAAGACCUGUCCUGUAAGAUUAUUACCUUUCAAGUUUAUUGCUUUCGCCAAUAAUUUUGAUCUGCAUUAUGAGAGUUGUGUAUAUAUACUUUUCUUUUAAGAGCAAUUUCCUUUUUGCUUUCCCCCUAUCAACUGUUAUUUGAGAUUUUAUCGAACGGCUCUUUUCGCCCUUCGCAGGUUUGCUCAAAAGCAACUGAACCAGGCAAUAGAAAUAGGAGACGUAACACGAGCAUUCUUUUACGUUAUACCAGCUCUGCAGGAAGAUUUAACAUUCUCGUCGAUGCUGGCAAGUACGCAUUAUGUAACCUCCCCAUUUCCCCCUACCUUUUCUCUGUGGGCUUCAAUCUCAUCCUGGGAAUUAUACUAUUAUUAUUUUUAAUUUUUAAUUUUUAAUUGCAUUCUAUAUAUAAUCUAUUUGUUGAUAAGAAACAUCUGGCAUGAGGAGUCAUUCUAAGUUAAUUAAUUUUGCAAAUGAUCGAAUGCAGAUAGUUUGUUUACUGCAGUAAAGGUUCUGUCGAAGUAUUCUUCGUCUUCAAUUUAACUAUCAGAAAGAAAUCCAGCUUUGUGUUAAUUUGAUUAGCUAGCCCUUGUAUAAACUGGAUUUCUAGCUAAUGCAAUGUCCAUUCUUUCAUAUCAGCUUUCUAAAAGGACCCAUAUCAAUCCUCAUCAAUCUUCUAUGUUGUAUGGUGAUUAUAAUGGCAUGUAAGUUUUAAGACACAAAAACCUGGAUCGUGCAAGAGAAUCCGAAGGAUGUCUGGUAUAGUGGGUGCAGAAGGGCGUAGUUUUUGAGAAUUUCAAAUAAGCCUGAAGAGAUUGAAAUAUACAAUAAUGUAAAUCUUGAUAAUUUUCAUAUAUUUAUAUAUAGAUGCUUAUGUAAGGUGAUUGAAGCUGUGUAAUACUUAUUGCUAAAACUAGCAAGCCAUUUAUGUCCGUCAAAUGUAUUUUCUUAUUUCCGAUGUUAAAAAUCUCCCCUCAGCUUUGCUUUAUCAAAUAGUCAUCAUGUUGUUAUUUAUCUUUUUUUUCCCCUUUUUUUUUUUUUUUUUUUUUUUCUCUUCCCUACCUACACUUUCCUGAAAAUCAGGACAAAGUGCGUCUUCAGUAUCUAGAGGAUCUGCAGAUCACAAUAUUUUUUAGUUGCAAUUAAUCUAUCCAUGUUGUUAUUCACCUCGAUGCUUGUGUAACCAUCUCCAAAUUUAUGAAUUGGACAUCACAUUUUACAACACAUUUAGGGAGAAAACAAGAUAACAAAAACAGUAAAGGCACUUGUUGAGUAACCUAUUAUUAGAAACUCACUUCUGAUAUUGUUUCUCUGUUAAUGGUAUUCUACAGAUUUUUCUACCAUAGUGCCCUCCAGUGGUUUCCUACUUUCGGGUAAGAGUUACAUUUUUAUUCUUGGCCAGCCAAUUUGCCAUGGCUCAAUAAAACUAAUUGAACUGUUGACUAAUGACUGCACAUUUGCAAAUACCAUUGACUGUUAAUUUAGUUUUCUCUGUAGUUUCUUCUUGAUUCACCUGUAAGGCGUAGUUUGGAUUGGACAAAUAUAUUUCUGUUUGCAUCUUCUGUUAACUUUAUACUCAACAUGGUCUUCAUAUGAUCUUCUGUUCUUAUUAAUUACCAUUUGUCAGGUUACGACAAAUUGAUGCAGUCCUCAUCACCCAUUCUCAUGCAGAUGCAAUUGGAGGUAUCUAUUUAACAUUAAGUUUUUUUUUUCUUUUAUACUACUAGAAAAUGAUUUUUGAUUCAAGGUUGGCGAAGAUUUUCUUUUUUAGCUUGAGCCUCUUGUAAUCUUACUGGCAAACUAAUUGAAAAAAAUUAUUCAUGGAGUGUGAAUGAUCAGCUCUGUCUUUUGAUAGUUGUCGAGACUAUUGAGAGUGAUGUCCAAAUACCGACGACCUUUGAUGUCGCUAGCGCUAAACACUUUACUUCUGUGGAGUUUUUCCACAAGUUAUAUUGUCAAUUGUUGUUGGUGUUUUUUAUUUUUUUUAAUUUCUAUCUUCUGAAAAUACAUAUUUGUUACGAAAAGAUGUUUUCGUAGAAUAUUUGGACGGAAGAUAGACAUCAUUAUUAUUAUUAUUUUCCCAUAAUUACUUUUUGCACCUUUUUCUGGUACAGGUCUUGAUGAUCUCCGUGACUGGACAAACAAUGUCCAACCCUACAUCCCGAUUUAUGUGCCCAAACGCGAUUUUGAGGUUCAAAAGUACUUUUCUCUAAUACGAUCAGUCUUAUUCUUAUCAAAAUCGAGUGAUUGAUUAAAUAAUUAUUUUCAUUUUAUUGCAGAAAAUGUUGUAUUUAACUUCUCCCGCGUGAUGUUCUUUGGGUGUGUUUCAGGUAAUGAAGAAGACCCAUUACUAUUUAGUCGAUACAAGUGUAGUAGUACCUGGUGCUGCAGUUUCAGAGUUGCAAUUUAAUAUAAUUGAGGAGGAACCGUUUGUCGUUCAUAACCUGAAGGUUGGUCUUAGCAAGAGGAGGUUACUUUUGAUAUCAAACUUAAUUCUUGAAGUUACAUGCCAGCUGCUCUGCCAGUUGAUAUAUAUAUAUAUAUAUAUAUAUAUAUAUAUAUAUAUAUAUUUUUUUUUUCCCACACAAGUUUUCUUGAUCAAUUAGGGGUCUGCAUUCAUUCUUUUAGCUCUCCAGAUAUGGUAAAUCAGCCUGCUAAUCUAAGAAUUCUAUUAACCAAUUAGAUUGAGGAACUGUUCUCAUUGCUAGUUUUGUUACUGUGAUGUAUUAAGAAAGCUAAAAGGGAAAGACCGAAAGACGUGGAUGAAGGUCGUAAUAUAGUGACAUGGGGUUUGACAAUUGGAUAGCUUGGGGAAUAUUAACAUAUAUAAACUGGUCGUGAAUAAGUAUCCAAAACCAGUUACCUAACAAAUUAUAACUGUAUGGUAUAUGCUAUCAUUUGUUUUGGCUUCUCUGUAAGAUGAAUAUGGUGAUUUAUGUUCUUCCCCUAAGAACGCUUCCACUGGUUCAGGUGACUCCUUUACCUGUUUGGCAUGGUGGCGGCUAUCGUUCUCUUGGUUUUCGCUUUGGUGAUAUUUGCUAUAUAAGGUAAGCCAUUUUUAUGCACCAUGGAAAUGUUUUUCGCCCCUUCGUAGUUUGUGUUCCUUAACAGCUAUUUGCAAUGCAGUGAUGUCAGUGACAUACCGGAAGAAACUUACGAGCUUCUCAAAAAUUGCAAGCUUCUUAUUUUGGUACUAUUACUUUGUUUGAGUGUUACUGGUGGAUACAUUGCAGUUUCUAAUAUCUCUAAUAUUGAUCUUUGCAAAAUUCUUCAUGUUCAUUCUAAUAAUGAUUUUUUUUUUUUUUUUUAAGGAUGCACUAAGACCGGACCGUUCUUCUUCAACACAUUUUGGUUUACCAAGGGUUAAUAUCUUCUCUAUAUCUAAAUUAGUCUGUUAUAUUAUGUUUUGCCAUUUUUACUUUUUUCUGAAACUCUGUUUACUUAAUUCUCAGGCUCUGGAUGAAGUCCGGAAAAUCAAACCAGCGAGAACUCUUUUCACUGGUAUGCUUCUGCUGAUUCUGCUUUCAAAUCACAAAGUGGUGAUUCUUAAUUUUAUCACAUGAUACUAUCUUACAAUCUUGUGAUUGAAAAAAUGACCAAUUUCCUGAAAUGAACCUGUACAAAAGUUGUUGAUGAUAUUUCACAUUGUUUAUGCUGAUUGCGAGUAUUUGACAAGGUAUGAUGCAUUUGAUGGACCACGACAAAGUAAACGAAUAUCUCGCCAAGCUGAUGGAAACAGAGGGUCUCGAUGUCCAAUUGAGCUACGAUGGCCUCCGCGUACCUGUAAACGUCUAGACUACGGCAUUCUCUCAAAUUUUCUUUACUGAUUCUUUUUUUCCACAACAAUAAUGUUUAAUCUACAUGAAGCUUGUGAAAGAAAUAAAUUUGUCUCAAUUUUGAAUCCUUUAAGAAGGGGUCAGAUGAUCAUGCCAUGUAACCUGCUCAGAUUAUUGGCCUAAUGCCUGCCACUUUGUAUUGAUUCUUUUGCAUAAUAAGAUUUUGUGGAUGGUGAGAAUAGAGCCACUUUGUAUUGAUUCUUUUGCAUAAUAAGAUUUUGUGGAUGGUGAGAAAACUAUUCUUGGUUCAUAGUAUUUUCUGUGAAAAAGUUGUGAAGAAAAAGUAAAGUACAUUGCAACAUAAUCUAACAUGCAUAGUUGCUGAAGGUCACUGACAGAUCCUGUUACAGAGUCAUUUACUAUAAUGAAUCAGUUAAAACCAUGAAAAACAAAGUAGACAACUGCAUGAGGGGAAAGAUUGCUGUUAAUGAAGUUAAACAAAUUAUCUGAAAGUGAUCACUAUUUGCUGCACAUCAGAUCUUCAUUAUAAAUUCCCCAGUACAUAUUUACAGAAACAAACCAAACAAUAAGAGUACAAGUGUGUGUACGACUAUCAAAAUAUACGAUGAUUCUCGACUGAUUCCGAUUGAAACAAUUCAUUUGCUGAGCUUAGACAUAGAACAAAAAUGUCUGAGGUCCUCUUAAGAAUUCAAAAGAAAAGGAAAAAUAUAUUUUAAGGAAUCUUUUGGAUGAUUGUACAAUGAGGAAGAUUGCAAUUACUACCCCAGGUCUUAAGCUGAAGAACAGGAGAUGCUGUGUGUCGAUCUGCGGCUCGGCUUUAUUAAGUUCCCACUUGAUAAGGGAAACACAAGUAGCUGAAACCACGUUCUCUGUUUGCGAGGGUUAUUUGUGAAAAGAAGCCAAACUGGUUAAAUGUUCGUGGAUCAAGCUUUAAAAUGGCCCUUCAAUGUAUAGCUUUAAAGUAGAAAGGCUCUUCUUCCACGUUCUCUGUUUGCGAGGGUUAUUUGUGAAAAGAAGCCAAACUGGUUAAAUGUUCGUGGAUCAAGCUUUAAAAUGGCCCUUCAAUGUAUAGCUUUAAAGUAGAAAGGCUCUUCUUCCAUUUAACAGCACAUUAUUGAUAUUCAAAUCUCCUCAACUUUUCCUUUCUCCAAAAAUGCCUGAUAUUGAGCAUGCCGAGAAGCUGGUAAUCCUUAUUCCUGGACAUGCAUGUUCUUGCAGACAAAGAAAAGGAAAUCUUAUCUACAAAAUGCUUUCGCCACCCUCCGAACCCGUUUGAAAUCUUUGUUCAAUCCCAUGCUCGCUUGAGCUUCUCCCCGAUAAGUUCCUCCCUCUAUCCCAAAACCAUGCUCCUCUACUUGUUCUCAAAGGGCCUGAACUCGAAAUCCUCCUGAAGGAACCAGUCGCAUCCCUCGUAAAACGCGCUGAGGUACUCAACACGUUAGAAGAGGAUAAUUUCCUUUCUGCUUCCAUGUCCAAACAUCCGCUGAGUCUCAAUUCCGUGUCUGGAGUAUGUGAAUCUUCUCGGCUAAAACUUUCCGACACUUUGUGCUCGUUGCCCUCGUUGCAUACCAGCUUCAGGGCUUGAACCACCUCACCCAUGAACGGUCGUUGAUCGACUUCAGGCUGAACGCACAUUGAGACAAUAGCCGCUACUUUUGCCAAGCUGUCGUAUUUAUUAAUGUCGAGAGAUGGAUCGAUUAUCGUCUCUAAACUCUCUUUACUUGUAAGAAGUGGGCGCGCCCAUGUUACGAGAUUUUCUUGCCCCGGGGGUCGCAACAUAUCUACUGGUUUCCUUCCCGUGAGGAGCUCAAGAAGGACAACUCCGUAGCUGUAAACAUCGCUCUUGACAAGAAGAUGCCCUGUCAUAGCAUAUUCAGGGGCAACAUAUCUAAAGACAAAAAAGAGGGCAACAAGUGAAAUUAGGUGAUAUUUAGAAUUCAUCAAUGGUUGACAAAGAGAAGAAUGAUUUGUUAAACAAUAUUAGAUACCCGAAGGUUCCCAUAACGCGAGUCGAAAUGUGCUCGUGUGCCUCGUCCCGGGCAGCUCUGGCUAGGCCAAAGUCGGAGACCUUAGGGGUGAAAUCAUGCUCCAACAAGAUGUUGCUGGACUUGAAAUCGCGAUGUAUGACACGAGGGUUUGAGUCCUCGUGGAGGUAGGCAAGAGCACGAGCUGCACCGAGGGCAAUCUUAAGCCGUGCAUCCCAAUCAAGUGGAGCGGUUUCUCUAUCCGGUCCUGAUUAUAAUUCACAAUUCAGAUCAGUUCUUAGAAGCUCCGAUUAAACUACUAGUUGCCCAAAGAAGUAAUGUUGGUAUCCUCAAAAUAUAUGUAUGAUAUGUAACAGUUCAAAUUCGCUGUUCCUCACAAAUAUAUCGGUACAUUAAGUUGCAGCAUCAUCCAAUUCAUGGGGGAAGCUGGUUUUGAUAUUAGUAAAGGCUUUUGAAAGAUAAGUAACUUCUGCAAGUUUAAGGGUAUAAAUGUAAGACAUUUAAGUUAUAUAACGGCAUACGCAAAAAUUCAGAUUUGCAGGGAUGUAUAUCUGAAAAGAAAAUUCUGAAGAGCAUGUAUGCAAUUUAAGUGCGUUAGCAAUUACCAUGCAGAUGAGAUUCCACGCUACCGUUGGGAAUGAGUUCAUAGAUCAGACAGUGCAUAUGCUCCUCAGUGCAUAUACCCAACAACUUAACCAAAUUCCUGUGGUGCAGACGGCUCAGCAUCUCAACCUCAGCCAAGAACUCUCUGCUGCCCUGCUGAUCUUCCCUCUUAAGAACCUUUAUAGCCACACACCUCCCGUCAUCGAGAGUCCCUUUGUACACACGUCCAAAACCACCUUCGCCGAUUAUUUUGGACUCGUCGAAUUUGUUUGUAGCUCUUUCCAUCUCCGCAAGGCUAAAUGUUUUUGCCGUGCCCGCACAUGUUGCGAUGCUCGAGGAGAAGGAUGCUGAUGCUGAGCUAGGUUGGCUUCCUAAUGCCCGAGCUCCCGUCCCUAUGAAAUAAAUAAAUAAAUAAAUAAAACCUCCAAUGAAGAGUUCAGCAAUUAGGGUUGAGAACAAAGAGUCGAUGGAAGCUAUAUUCACUUCUUUCACUUCUCAAGCAAUGAAUGACAAAGUUCACGGAUAAAAAAUAAAUUUACGAUGCACGAGUUGAUAAGAAGUUCAUGUUGACAAACAUGACACCUUGGGCAUGAUGAUCCCAUGCCUAUAAUUUUAUUUUGUGUCAAAAAAAGGAGAAAAAUCAAAAUACUCGAUUAAAAUUUCAAGCUAAUCUCAUGAAUAUUCAAUUUCUAGGUAAAAAUUAUUUCUAUAAAGCAUCGUAUCAAACUCUGUAUUCUAUUGCAGCUCAGACAUGUAAACCCAAAAUAGAGCAAGAAGUUCACUGAAAAAUGAUAGAGAAAGAACAGAAAAAGUGUGCGAUUUCACACCCAUUAUGUUGUUUCUACAGCAAGAAAGCUUGAAUUAUGCAUAUGCUCACCAAUUCACAUGCAUUUUCUUCCUAAUGCCAAAAACAUGCAAGAGACUUAAAAGUAAACACCAAUGAAGGGAAUAGGAUGUAUCUACCUUGCGACUUAGCAAAAGAAGUAGUUGGUCCUAGCGGAUGAGAACGAACUAUGCACUUCAAGAAUACCAUCCACGCAGCUCCAACACACAAAACUAGAGCAAAAACAGCCGACAAAAUAAUAAUAACUAUCAGGCUGCCACUUUGUUUUUCUCGAUGCUUUCUCACAUUGGCGGCAAGAGGUCGUAUAGACUUCGGAUUGUUUCCGUUAAUUAAUACCCCAUCUUCACUACUCAUAUCUCCAGGUGCUGCAGGUGGAGACAAAGAAAGGCCUGUAGAUACAUAUAUUAAAAAAGUUAAAAAUCAGGAAAAGCCAAGUAAAACAUGUGUUAUGAAUAUUAAAAAAAAGAAACAUUUUAGGAAGAAGUUCAAUAAAAUCUCUUUGUACGUCAUGAACGAGUAAAUGGCCACAUCUUUGGUUAUGUAAAAACAGAUACCUGAGGUUUUGCAUUCUCUAGAAGUGUGUGUUUUUUUUUUUUUUAACCCGGAACCAAAAUUGUUGGAAUGAGCAUUUUCAAUACUUGUUUCCCUGAUCCAAAUUUAUCCCCCCAACUAAAAAGCCUUAAAAGAUCCGUAUAAGGAGAUGUAACAAUGGAAAAACUUGACAUUAAAUUAUCACUAUUGGACGAUAUAAGAAAACCAAAAUGCACAAAUAUAAGGAAUGAGGGAGCUUCAUGAUUAACCUGGGUAGAUAACAUAUAAAACAUCAUAAUCCCCAAAGUAGGAAGCAUUUAUGAAAACCUCCUUGUGCCAAAACUUCUCAUUAACCAAAAAGAUCGUCGUGUUAUCGAAUUUGUUGCCGAGUGGGAUGAGAUCAAUGAAAACGACAGUCUUCUCAGGCUGCUCAUUUGCGGCAUUUGCUCCCAUGAUUCGGACCUGACUUUGUUUCAUUAACACUCCAUUAGCAAGUUCUUGGGCAAGCUCAGAAACCAAAGUAAAGAACGUGUAUAAGGCAACGUUUAAGCGUAGCCCAACUUUUAUUGGCAACACACAAGCACAUGGCGAUCCUGGUGGGCUAUUUGUCCAAGGAUCUGAGCAUGAUAGCGGUGUACAAUCUGCACAUAAAACCAACAGUACAUCAAUAAAACACUUAAAACUUUAAGGUCGGAUUUAAGAGAAUGAAAGCAAAUUAUUGAUCUUUCGACAAGUUUUGCGGCACAAAUUAGAAAAGUCCACUAUAACUUUGUAAAAAAGAAAGCAUGUGAUUCUUAAACACACCUAAAUUAGGUGGCGGAGGCGGUAAUGUAUUAAUAGGUUCUGGUGAUGGCGCUUCAUGCUUUUCUCGGGUGGAAGCACUGGGAGGGGGCAUGGGAGAUGGAACAGGCCCUAUCAUCAUGAGAGUUUUGUAAGCAAAUGAAAUAAGUAUUAAAGGAUAGAGAAUCCAUAAAAAGAAACAAAAACUUCAAAAAAGAAAAUCAAUAUCUCAACAUACGUCUGUUUAUGGUAGAUGGUAUGUUUAUUGAUGGAGAAGAGGAAGGAGCUUGUCGACUAUCUGCUGAAUGAAAAGGAGCCUGAGAAAUUGAAGGGCCUGAAGAACAGACAAACAGUCCAAAUUUAGAAGCAAAGGUAAUUAUGUUAUGAAAGCUCCAAAUAUAAGCAAUUUUACCAGUUCCUACCUUGAGCAUGGGGUGGCGAAGGAUGAUGCCUUCGAUUAUUCUUGGGGGACGCUGCUGGAGGACGUGAAGGAGCCGAAGACAGCAAAAAGGCUUUUCAUUAAGUCAUUUUGGAAGUUAAUAAUACACUAUUAGCAAAUUUAUCCAACCUGGAGAUUCCGAUAUAUUCGGCUGGAAUGGAGCAUGUGCGGGCUCUGGUGUUCCUCUUCCUUUGUGGUUAUGAGUUGUAGAAACAGGUACAGGUGCAGGACUAUUAAGUGUUCUUCCCGAAGGAGAUCGAUUAGGUGAAUUCAAAGGUGCAUGUAUAGUUUGUGGUGGUAUCUUUGCUUCGUGUGGAGAAGGGCUUAUCAGAGGGGAAGAAACUGCAUUAAAGAAAUCGGCUCUCCGUUAUUAUAAUUUUCUCAUGAUAAAGGGAUAAAAUUUCAUUUGCAGCCCACAAAUGAAUGUCUACUUUAUUUGAACUAGCAAAGAGAUUGUAUUCGGCAUCAUUAUUUAUCUUUACAAGAAGGAAGAGAGUGAUUAAUAGGGAACUUUUAGUCCCUGUGAUGAAGAAAAAGUGUACAUGAUGAAAAUAUUUUUAACCUAGAAGGAGAAUAUAUAUAUAUACCUUUUGUACGGGAAUAAUUUAGAUGUGAUGAAUGGGUAGAUGGUUCCUUUGGAGGUGACGCAACUGGAUUGGUGUGUCUCGCACUAUUGUUGACUUGGGGAGUCGAUACUGGAGAAGGAGCAGGCCCUGCAUGCAAUAAACAAGGAAUAGCUCAUCAAUAUGAAGAGCACUAGUUGGCAUUUUCUAGCGAAGGACUAAGGAUAGCUAUGCCUUGUAGAUGUGAAGAAGUUGGAGCGGAUAAAUUGGUAGAAAGUUUGUAUACCUUUUAUGUGGGAUGAAUUUACAGGUGAUGAAUGGCUGGAUGAUUCUUUCGGAGGUGCUGCAACUGGAAUGUUGUGUGUCGAACUACUGUUGGCAUUGGGAGUCAAUGCUGGAGGAUAAGCAGGUCCUGCAUGCAAUAAAUAGAGAUAACUCAUUUAUAUGAAGAGCAUUAGUCAAUAUUUUCUAGCGAAGGACUAAUGAAAACUAAACUGUGGAGACAAAUUGGUAGAAAGUUUGUAUACCUUUUAUGUGGGAUGAAUCUACAGGUGAUGAAUGGCUGGAUGAUUCUUUCGGAGGUGCUGCAACUGGAAUGCUGUGCGCCGUACUGCUGUUGACAUUGGGAGUUGAUGCUGGAGAAGAAGCAGGCCCUGCAUGCAGAUAUAAGGAAUUAACUCAUCAAUAUGAAGAGCAUUAGUCAAUGUUUUCUAGCAAGUAGGGACAAGUACACAUUGUGUGUGUGAAUAAGUUGAGGGAAAUAAUCGGUAGAAAGUUCACUAUGUUGAAUAUAAAUAUUAAAAAACUAUUCUCUGGAUGCUUAAGUUUUUGGAGAACAACGGUUGUUUUAUAUUCUUUAACAUGGCAUCAGAGCAGAGCAGAAGGUUUUGAGUUCAAGUCCUAUUAGAUUCCUAGUAAAUUAAAUAUAAAUAUUAAAAAAAAGCUUAAGUUUUUGGAGAAUAACAGUUGUUUAUAUAAUUUAACACACUAUACCUUCUAUAUGUGAAGAAUUUACAUGUGGAUGGGUGGAUAAUCCCUUUGGAGUUGAUGCAGCAGGAAUACUGUGUGACGUACUAUUGUCGACAAUGGGAGAUAAUGAUGGAGAAGAAGCAGGCCCUGCAUGCAACAUUUAAGAAAUAACUCAACGAUAUGAAGAGCAUUUGUGAAUAUUCUCUAGAAAAGUAAGGAUAAAUAUAACCUUGUAGAUGUGAAUAAGUUGAAGAGGAUAAAUUGGUAGAAAGUUCUUUACCUUUUAUACGGGAAGAAUUUACAGGUGAUGAAUGACCGGAUGAUUCUUUUGGAGGUGCUGCAACUGGAAUGCUGUGUGUCGCACUAUUGUUGAAGUUGGGAGUUGAUGAUGGAGAAUAAGCAGGCCCUGCAUGCAAUAUAUAAAGAAUAACCCAUCAAUAUUAAGGGAUUAGUCAAUAUUUUCUAGGGAAGUAAGGAUAUAUUGUUGAUGUGAAUAAGUUGGAGGAGAUAAAUUGUUAGAAAGUUCAUUCACCUUUUAUACGGGAUGAAUUUACAGGUGGCGAAUGACCGGUCGAUUCGUUGGGAGGUGCUGCAACUGGAAUGCUGUGUGUUUUACUAUUGUUGACAUGCGGAGUUGAUACCGGAGAAGAAGCAGGCCCUGCGUGCAACAUUUAAGAAAUAACUCAACAAUAUGAAGAGCACGUGUGAAUAUUCUCUAGAAAUGUAAGGAUAAAUAUAACCUUGUAGAUGUGAAUAAGUUGAAGAGGAUAAAUUGUUAGAAAGUUCAUUCACCUUUUAUAGGGGUUGAAUUUACAGGUGGCGAAUGACUGGUCGAUUCGUUUGGAGGUGCUGCAACUGGAAUGCUGUGUGUUGUACUAUUGUUGACACGGGGAGUUGAUACUGGAGAAGAAGCAGGCCCUGCAUGCCAUUAAAAAGGAAAACUCACCAAUAUGAAGAGCAUUAGUCAAUAUUCUCUAGAAAAGUGAGGAUAAAUAUAGCCUUGUGGGUGUGAAUACGUUGAAGUAGAUAAAUUGGUAAAAAGUUCAUAUACCUGUUAUCCGGGACGAAUUUACACGUGACGAAUGACCGGAUGAUUCUUUUGGAGGUGCUGCUACUGGAAUGCUGUGUGCCGCACUAUUGUUGAAAUUGGGAGUUGAUGCCGAAGAAGCAGCAGGCCCUGCGUGCAAUACAUUACAAGGAAUAACUCAUCAAUAUGAAGAGCAUAAGAACACAUUCUCUAGUAAGGAUUUAUAUAUAUAUUUUAAAAAAACUCUAGUAAAGAUAGCCAUACCUUGUAAAUGUGAAUAACUUGGAGGUGGCAAACUAGUAGAAGGUUCCUUUGGAGGCGAAGCAAUUGGUGAGCCAUACCUAUUCCCAUGGAAGCGAGAAGCGUUUGAUGCAGGUGCUGUCCGUCAAAUGUUAAUGCAGAAUCAACAUAGAAAAAUAAGCCAGAGAAUUUAAUCUUUUUGAAAUUGACACCUUUUGGGUGAAAAUUUUCUUUUGGAGUAAUUGGUGGUGUAACUUUUAUGGUGGGGCAGAAAUUGGCACACUAUUCCUUUCUCUAAUAAUAGUUGGUGAAGUAGCUGACAUCGAAGAAAAGCCAAGGGUUGUAUCACAAUCAACUACCCCUGUUAAGUAUUCAUUUCCACUUCUACAAUUAUAAACUAUGGAGAAGAAUACCAUUCGGCGUGGAACUAUUAAUUGGGGAUAUUUGGCUAGAUGAUUCAUUCGGGGGUGGUGCGACUGAAACAUCACUACCAUUUCGACUUAUUGGAGGAGUGAUAGGUGUCGGAGGAACUGCCGGCCCAGCAAACAAUACACCAAGUUAUUUAAACUUAAAAAGAGGUAGAACUAGCAUGCUAAUUUAAGAAAGAUGUCACAAAUAACAAGCACUGCUGGCGAAAUGCUUACACUGGUUAUUUGUAGUAUGCGGCGAAUCUGGUGUCGGAGAUGGCGCAUGUCCAAAAAAAGCCGGUAUAGGAGGUUGAGGAGGUGGCAAAACUGGUAGAAAUAGUUAGAUUCAAGAAUUAAGUAUCGUGCCACAGGGGGCUUGCGUGCAGCCUGUGGCACAAAACAUGCCACGGCACGUGCCAUGGCAUGCCCUGCACCAUUGGUGCACUAUGAUGUGACAGUGACACAAUUUUUGAGUGUUUUAUUCUUUUUUUAACUUAAAUCAUUUCAUUCCAAAGAUCAUCUGUAAAACAUAUGAUUAUAAAAGCAUUCCUAUCCCACCAAAUAGAAGGCAAAAAGGGGAUAGUCCCUUUGUACCAUGCCGGUCGGCAUGGUUGGCACAUAAAUCCCGCGUUAAGUCAAUAAUUUACCGCAUGCUACGGUGCUGCACUGUUAUUAACCAUACCUUUGUUUCUUGGUACUGAGACUGGAGGACUAAUCUUUGGUGCUUCUCCAUUUCCAGUACGCGCAGAUGGUGGAACCGCAUAGGAAGGAGAAAGAUCGUGGGCUAAAAAUGAGAACCAAAAAGAGAAAAAGAUCAUUUGGGAUUUGUGACGAUUAAAGAAUACCAAAUAGUCAAAGAUAGGAAUUUACAACUGGGAAGACUUGACGACGGGCUUUCAUACGGUGGAGCACUUGGCUGCGCUGAUGAUAUCACUGCUUGAACAGCGGGGGGAAAUACGUCAGAAGUAUGUGGAAAUCCAGAGGGAGGAAUAGUUGGAGGUUGAAGCGGAAGAGGCAGUGAAACUGACGCAGAAACCAUAAAUGAAAUUAGAUCAAGUUUGAUAGUAUUGCUCACCAUUACUAAGUGAUGGUAAUCAAUUAACCUUCUUUACUUGGAGCUGGGACUGAAGAAUUAGUAUAUGGUGCUUCUCCAUGAAAAACUGGCUUAGGAGAAAGAUUAUUUUCUGUAAAUUGGAGAGGGAAAGAAAUUUGAUCAAGUUUGAUACAGUAUUAAACUUUAUCAGAUUGUCUCAAAAUUUCAAGAAGCAUAUCCUUAAAUUUUACCUUUAACGGGAUUACCCUCAGACGUCGUGGCUGGAGCAGGUGCAUAUUCUUUUGGUGGUUCUUUAAAAUACACAGGACUGGAUGCUUCGUCUUUCGUAUGAGGAACUGAAGAGGACACGUAUGGGGGUGGGGAUACAUCAAAAUCUGCAUUGAAUCCAACAGAAAUUACGUAGUGAUCCUUCUAAAUAAAAAAUAAACAAAUAAACUGAAAUGGAUUUUUAGUAUGAACCUAAGUUUCUCGGCGGUGGAGAAAUUGAUGGAGCAACCAUAUUUGAGGGAUCAAGUAUCUCAGUUGUGUUAUUUGUUGGAGGCGCAUUUGUCAAGGGUAGCAGUGUCCUUCGAGCAAGCAAGUGCAGUUCUAAUGGUUUUGAGAGUUGUACUACAAAAAUAUUAAGCAUAAUGUAUUAGCAGUUUCAUCUUUUAAGCUCAAAAAAGUGAACCGUAGUGCAAUUCCGACCACAACAAAAGAGCACAUAAGAGAGCACAUGGCACAUAUCCAGUAGAUAAGAAUUACAGUUCAUGAACUCACAGAAACAACGACCAAAAGCACUUACACUUUUAAUUGACAUUUUCAAGGCCCAACAAUGAAGUCAUAUUGCUUUCCAAAGAACAAGCUGAAAACAAUAUAGAAUAUAUGUACAUAUAAAUAUAUAUAUAUAUAUAUAUAUAUAUAUAUAUAUAUAUAUAUAUAUAUAUAUAUAUAUAUAUAGAGAUGUAUAGAACUCUUUGUCCUCAUAAGUAGUUUUCAAUGAUGGAGCUUCCAUUAAAUAUGAUAUAAAGCAUUUGAAACUUAUAAAAAAUGAAUCCGUAAUUUUUCAAAAUUAUAAUAAAAUCCAUCAAGCGGGCAUAAAAUGAAUAGUAAAAACUGAACGAUCUCCUACAAAUGGAUGAUCAGAUCCUUUAAUUUAAGAUCGGAGUUAUUGAUCUAUAUCUAGAUUAUGAAUAGAAUUUUCUAUCAAAAAUUCAAUCAAUUCUGAUUCUUUUACACCGUUAAACUAGAAAGUAUCCCAUACAAGCCAUUAAAAAUUAUCAAUUUUGAGAUCUUCUGAUCCUGAGGUAAAUAAUGUCAAAAAAAUAUGAAAAUUUGAUUUCUAGAAGUUUCAAAUGCCUUAAAUCAUGUUUAACGGUAUGGAUCGUCAAUUCGAAAGUUUUAUCAUCGAAAACAAUUUAUGAGUACGAAGAUGAUCGUGCUUACAAGAGAACAGUAGCUGGACUCUAUAUAUGUAUAUAUCUCUUCUGUAACACAACAGUUUCUCGCUAUUUUUCAAGCCAUAUCCUAACAUUGUUUCCCCUAAAGCACAAAGUCAACACUGAGAAGGCUCUCAAAAGAAUUGACAAAUUUUGUCAAUGAGCUGUCAUCCACACAUCAGCACUCAAGAAAGCAGCGGAAGCAAAUUCGGCAAGACGGAGGCUCACAACAAAACUAAAAGCCAGUCAGCCAAUAGAACACUCUUCAUUGGUUCUUUCAUGUUUAGCUUAUGUAGUGAAGAAACACUCACCGAAAUUUACAACAACUAAAAUUAAUGCCAUAUACAUUUCACAGCAAUGUUUAACUAGCAUGUGGUUCGAUUUUGUAGCCUGUAUACAUUAUACUGUCAUAGAAUAACCCACUGACGGAAAUUGGCCUACUCAGUUAAUUUAUGGUUGAAUGGUUACCCAUAAAAUCUGAUGCUACUUGUUAUUUAAACCUAACCCUGUAAUUCCGCAUGUAUGGGAUUUCCCUGAACAUAGUCCUUAUUAUCAGCCAAUAGAAACCCCAAACAACUCAGACAAUUUACUUCUAAUGCUUAGAGCCACUUGAAAUAAACCUUAAUUCCUAGAUAUCAAAAUGAAAAAUCAACGUUAUUCUGGGAUAUAUCAAAUUCAAAGCAAUAUCAUCUCCAUACAUUCCUCGUUCUUUAGAGGAAUGUUUCCAAUAAAUAAGGAUUCGUUCUUGCAUAUUUUUACUAGUUUUCCAAAAGUAAUCCAUGUCCCGAUCAAACCGGAUUUCCCUAUUAUUUUUCUAAUCACACCAACCCUACAAAUAUACAAAUAGCUUAAUCUAUAGAAAGACCAAGAGGCUCGAUCAAACUGGUUGGCCACCGUGAUCAAUCGGCCAAACGCAUAUCCGGUGUUCAGAUUUAAGCUUCCCAUUUUCUCUAGGAUUGAUAUUGCCUCACUACGCCGCGCUAAUACUACAUCAAAAAGUCCAAUUAUAUAAUAUUUCAUCACGGUUUUUUAAUACUUUAAAAGAUUUUAGAGACGAACAGUUGUUUCACACGGUAUCCGACCGUCGGAGGUCCCAAGAUCACUUUUUUUCACAAGUUCUUAGUUUGAUUUAAUUCAAGCCCAUGUCAUAUUAGAGAAAACUAGAGAAAUGAAUGGCUGUCUAAGAUGAUAAGAUCAACAAAAUCUAAAAACAUCCUCAGAAACUAACAUGGCAACAAAUGGAACUUAUUCAGAUCAUGUUUGUAAGCAUUUUUGCUACCUCCGGGGCCUCGGAUCGCGACGAGAACAAGAAGGAGAACGCCUACAACAGAUGGGCAAAGAAUCAUCAUCAUCCGCCGCCGCCGCCGCCCCAUGCCGCCGCUCCCUCUCUCAUAAUCCAACCCCCUCAGCCCCCCCACAAACUCGCUAAAAACCGAAGAACAUGGACGGAUUUGAUGAACCCACCAGGAAAAACCACUGGAACGAUCCCAAAGGAGUCAAAUUUAAGCAAACCCAUGCAAGGAACCACCAAUUCACAUACACAAAUGUAAAAGGCUAUAAAGAAAGAAGGGGAAAACAAGAAAAGGAUUGAGAUGAAUUUAAAGCAAACCCAUGUGAGGAAACAUCAAUUCAUGUCCAAAGGAAACUGUGGAGAAGAGCUUCUCUCUUCUGGGGGUGAUGAACAGCAAAAAAAGGGCUACAAAGUACAAAGAAAGAGGGGGAGGGGGGAAAGGGGGGGUGUAUGUGUUGGGUUGGGAAAUGAGAGGGGUGGGGAAAUGAGGGGGUGGAGUGCAUAAAAGCCUUGUGUAGUGGGAAGGGGCCAACUCUUCUCUCCUAACUUUUAGAUUCUGUGCUAUGCUUGCAUCUUGGACUCACUUUGAUAGAUUGAGAGAGAGUGAGAAAGAGAGAGAGGACACAGAGGAGACUACUGUUUUAGAGAGAGAGAGAGGGGACAGAGGGGAGUUGAUAUAUAUUUAAUAUAAUAUUCAGAGGUUGUUGAACUUGAACACAGGCAGCAGAGGUCCAACACAGGGGGGUACAAAGUUAUUCAAGGCCUCUUUUCUGUUUAGUGGAGCUUUCUGGUUGGGUGUUUGGUGGGGUUGCACUGUUAAAUUUAUUAUUAUUAUUAUUAUUAUUAUUAUUAUUUUGAGAGGAAGAUUGCACGUUAUUUGUUACGUUUGCAAAGCAGCUACAUUUUGAAUUUGGGACUUUGGCUUUAUUUAGGAUUGCGAGAAGAUUGCGUUGAGAAAGUACGCUGUAAAAAUACUAUAUUUGUGUCCGUACGUAAUAUUACGUUCCGCAUAUCGUGAUGAGUCGGUUACGAUAUAUUUUUCGCGGUCCCAGUGGAGAACGCAGAAGCAUAUCCCUAUAUGCUUUUUCCACAACUCCAUUUUAUCUAAUAGCGUUAGAUAGGCCUCAAUACCAAACUAAGCCUUAGAUACCAACCACCUGCCCUUCUACCACUUGCACUAUGGACGGUUAUUCUGUUAUGUUUAUUAUUAUUAUUAGAGAAAUCCUUAGUUUACAAAAAUCUUUGAGGAUUGCAAACUUGCAAUCUUGACAACUCUCAAUUUUAUAUUAUUUGAGAGAAAGGUCGCAUGCUAUUCGUUUCGAUUUAUUUUUUAAAAAUAAAUUUAACUAAAAAUGUAAAAUAACUAUAUUUCGAACUUGGGACCUCAGAUAUCAACCACCGACUCUUUUGCUACUUGGACUAGGGACGGUCGUUCUGUUACGUUUAUUAUUACUUGAGAAAUCCUUAGUUUACAAAAAUCUUUGAGGGUUGCAAUCUCGACAACUCUCAAUUUUAUAUCCAAUUUUUAGUGUAUAUAUAUAUAUAUAUAUAUAUAUAUAUAUAUAUAUAUAGAACAUGGCGCUGCUGUGCUCUAAGGAGCACGGUGGCCUCCGUGCUCCUGAGCCGUUUUCGAUGAUUGGAGUUUCCGAAUCGACGAUCGCUCCGUUAAGCUUGAUCUAGCUUAUUUGAAGUUUCUAGAAAAUAAUUUUUGCGAUUUUUCGAUAUCAUUUACCUAGCAAUCGAAAGGAUUCAAAAUCAAUAAUUUUUAACGGCUGAAAAUAAAAAUCCUAUAAAAAGUGGUGAUAUAGCACUAAAAUUUUCGAUCAGAAAUAUUGAUCUUUUUAUAGAUAGUAUAAAGAAUUUUCUAUCAAAAUUUCAUCUGAUUUGAAUACUUCUACACCGUUAAACUUGAAUACGGCAAAUAUCAACCAUUAAAAAUUAUGGAUUUUGAAUCCUUUCGAUCACUAGGUAAAUGAUAUCGAAAAAUCGCAAAAAUUAUUUUCUAGAAACUUCAAAUGCGCUAGAUCAAGUCUAACGGAGCCGAUCGUCGAUUCGAAAAUUCCAUCAUCGAAAACGGCUCAGAAGCACGAAGGCCUCCGUGCUCCUGAGAGCACAGCAGCCCUGCUCUAUAUAUUAGAAACGAAUAGCAUGCUGAAGCAAGUUCUUACUUCUUGGCCAGGUCCAGUAACACUAGCCUUUUGCUGUGUCAAUUUUCUAUGAUUGUUAUUCUUUAGUAGGUGAUUAUUUAUGGUGACUCCCUCAAGUAUCGGUUAUUUUGAAAUAACCCCUUCAAACUUUAUUUUUUGAUUGAUAGCCCUCAACUUUUAUUAUUUUUUAAAAUGAGUAAUUUUAGCCAAAAUAUAGAAAGAUUCUACCAAAUAUAUUGACAACUUUACUGAAUUUAAUGGCUUUUAUUGUUUUUUAGCCAAUAAAACAAGGGCAAUUAACUGUUAGUAAUUAAUAUGUUAGAACAAAUACCGCAACGAAAAUCUGAUUGUGAUUAAUAUUUAACUAAUUUUGUAAUAAGAAUAAAAUCAAACUUACAGAUAAACGCAAAUAUCCAAAUAAUAAUUUGAUCUUAUCCGGAAGCGUGCGAGGCACUGCCCUAAGGCGUAUUUCCGUCCUUACGUGCGGGAUUAACCGAAAAUAACACCCCAAGAUACGACCGGAAUUCCUCCUCCUGCGAGCACGAUCGUGAAGGAGGUUGACGAAGAUUCUCAACACCCAGUGGAUAAGGGGAAUGUUCAAAAAUAAAAGAUAAAAGAAUAAAUGGAUAGAGAUUAACCAAUGAUCAAAAAUCUUUUCUGCCUGCUCUAUCUUGNUAUUAUGAAAAUAACCAUCUAAUAAAUUUAUGUCCCAAAAUAAUUUACCUCCCAAUCUUAGAAUUUGCAAAAUUCGUUUCCAAGAUGAACACUAGGAUAAAAUCACGAGAGCAAUUAUAAUAUCAAAAUUUAUCAAACUGAUAAAAGAGUAACCCCGACAAGUUCUGAAAUAUACUAAAAAUUUAAAAAUUAUAAAAUUUAAUCAUGUUUAACAAAAUUCGGUUCAACAACAAAUAGAUUGCAGAAACAAUUUUAAAAUAUUUGAUUUUAAUUAGGUAAUUUGUUUGCAAACAAUAUAUUGCAAGUAAUGUAUAAAAAUAUUAAAUACAAUCAGCAAAAUUAUCACAAUAACUGUGCUAGCUCUUGUAUAUUCAGUCGUGCUAAGAAGUUAGAUAGUUGUGAUAUUAAAUCCAACAAAUGGAGUUUGCAAUGACAGCAACAAUAAUAAAAAAAAAAUGCAAUAGUAUUAAUACUGCUUGUUAGGUGAUCUCGCUCAAAAACUGUGCCUUUAGAAAGUGUAGGUUGAAAUCCCACUUGGAGCAAAAUGUUUAAAAUUAAUUUUGCAGCAGCAACAUUUUUUUUUUUUUUUUAAUUAGCAAAGGAUUUUACUGUAGCAAACUUUUAAACCGUACACUAUAAAAAAUAAUUUUACAGUAGCUUUUUUUUUUUAAAAAAAAAACAAAUUUAAAACACCCUAAAGCAAAUAAGAGAAUAUAAUAAUUGAUAAUUAAACUGUAUGCAUUUUUAGCAAGUAAAUUAUAUGCAAUUGAAUUUGAAAAUACUAAUUCUAAUUUAUUUAAAUUAGAAUGACAAACAUACAAUCAAAUUUGUCAAACAAAAAUAAUACGCAAUAUCUUUCUAUUUUAAGCGAAAUAAUAAUUAAACCACAUACAUGAGUGUGCUAGUCUCCAACAGCAGUGUAGCGCAAGGGCGACAUGAUAAAAUCCCAGUAACAAGCUAUCAUGGAUGGACACUCCUCCACAAAAAUUAAUUUAAUAUCGAGAUUGGCACGUAGCCCAUAUAUAUCAGAUAUUAAACUAAUAGGAACAGAUAUUACACUUCUCUGAAAAUUAUAAAUUUAAUUAGAACUCUGAAUUAAUUGAACAAUUAGAUUUGAUUCAGCAGACCAAAUGCGGCAGAUGUGAACUUUGUUAAAUAGUGCACAAAAUUACAAGCCAUUAAAUUCUAACUUUUUUUUUAAAGAGCUUUUACUGUAGCAACAACUCAAAAACCAUACACAGUAAAGAUUAAUUUCACUGUAGCAAAAAAAUAUUAUUAUUAUUAUUAUUUUUUUAAAAUAUAGACAAACAGUGAAAACUAUAUAUAAUCCAUAAUGUCCGUACCUCUUUUUUCCCAAAAGAGCUACAGUAAAGGCAAUUUUUUUUUUUAAAAAAAUACUCAUCAAAUAAAAUGUAAUUUAAACAAGAAAUUACAAAAUAUGCAAUUAUAGGUUAAAGUGCUAAUCCCAAAAAAAAUUAUAUUUAAAUGCCAACAAACAAAUUAACAAACAAAUUAUAUACGUAUAAAAUUAAUUUAAUACGGAUUAACAUCCGUUAGAUUUUAACCACAAUCAAAUUGAAAAUACGCCUUAGAUUGUUAGAACAAAUACCGCAACGAAAAUCUGAUUGUGAUUAAUAUCUAACUAAUUUUGUAAUAAGAAUAAAAUCAAACUUACAGAUAAACGCAAAUAUCCAAAUAAUGAUUUGAUCUUAUCCGGAAGCGUGCGAGGCACUGCCCUAAGGCGUAUUUCCGUCCUUACGUGCGGGAUUAACCGGAAAUAACACCCCAAGGUACGACCGGAAUUCCUCCUCCUGCGAGCACGAUCGUGAAGGAGGUUGACGAAGAUUCUCAACACCCAGUGGAUAAGGGGAAUGUUCAAAAAUAAAAGAUAAAAGAAUAAAUGGAUAGAGAUUAACCAAUGAUCAAAAAUCUUUUCUGCCUGCUCUAUCUUGAGCAAGAAGAAAAGGAAAAAGACUUAAAAAGGAAAGAGGAUUUUACGUUUUUUCUCUUACGAGAAAGAAGCGGAACCCGCCCAACGUAACGCGAAAGAAACGGAACGGAAAAAAUUCCGUUAGUUUCUUUCUCAUUAAGAAAGAUAAUAAAAUAAUUAAAUAAAAUAAAAUAAUUAAAGUAAUAAAUAAAUAAAAUAAUAAAUAAUAAAACAUCAAAGUGCAAAUAAAAUAAAUUC